AAUUCUUCUAAUUUCUUGUUUUGGUGUCUUGUUUGUUUAGUUUUCAUAUUAGUUUAGGAAUUAGUUUCCUUCAUUUCUUUCUUGAGCCCGUUCCGUUUGUUUGUUUAUAAAUAUUUCGCUGCCAUGCUAUUUCUUCGAGUGUGUGAUUUGUUUUGAUUAUUUAUCCUAUGGGCUAUUUUCCUACAAAGUAUUAGAGGUCUGGACUUUGAUUCUAGGGCUUGUUCAUGAAAUUGAAGCAUGGAUCAAUGUUAUUCAUCACGUUGUGAUGUUUUUAUUUUUGAUGAUAAAAAUGAUUUUGAGAUUUGGAGUUGGAUGAUGAAAAAAAAAAUUUCAAACUAUUGGAAUUUGGGAUUUUGUCUAAAAGGGGUUCACGAAACCUAUAGAAGGUACGAAUUAUCAAGCAGUUUAAGUGUUAGAGAAGAAUAAAUAGUUAGAUUGCAAGGCAUUCCAAUAUCUCAACACCCAAGUCCAAUUGCAUGUAGCCAAAAAAUUUAUAGAUGUAAAUACAGCAACGGAGGUUUGGAAAAUUUUGAUGAAUUUCUAUGGUCAUGGUGGAGAAGAAUUUUGUGAUGAGGUAGGAGAUUCUUUUUUUUAUGAGUCAAAGAAAGAAGAAAUUGCAGAAAUUAUGGGUACACAUGAAGAUGAAAAAUUUGUGGCCGACAAAGAAAUUUCACAUGUGAUGGAGAAAGAAAGUGAAGUCGUUGGUGAUAUGGAAAAUGUAACAAAAGAUUGUGAUAAGAGAGAAAUUUUUGAUUUCAUUGUGGUUGAUGAAUUUUUUGAAGUGAAAGAUGCGAUUGUUAAAAUUGACGCGAUUGUUAGCGUGAAAAAAUUAAAGGAAAAAUAUGGUGAUGUUAAAAACAUUGGAGGUGGCAACUAUGAUUUUCUAGUGUUGGGAAAUUUUCUUGGUGAUGUGGAGUAAUGAAUGGAGUUUGGAUGAACAUGUUUAACUUUUUUGACAUAAGUGAUCAAGGUAAGAAAUUGUUCAAAAAGUAUAAGUUUCAACCACUGUUACGUGUAAAGAUGAAACUAAAAAUCAAUCAUAAGUUGGAGUUAAAUGUUGUCUACUGCAACUGAGUUUUUCAUAGAGAUUCAAGUUCGAAAUGACAUUGGAGGUGAGCACAAUAACGAGCAUGGUUUAAGGAAGGCAAUAAAGGAAAUUAAACCCAACUAUCUUAGUAUUUAGUUUUAUAAUUCUUCUAGUUUCUUAUUUCGGUGUCUUGUUUGUUUAGUUCCCAUAUUGGUUUAGGAGAUUUCAAAUCAGUUCCAAAUAAGUUUCGGUUUAUAAUUGUAUUUGUUUAAUAAGUUUAACAAUGCAUAAAUACUACUAGAGUAGUAGAUUAUUACUUGAAAAAUUGAAUCGAGUUUUGAGAGUAAAUUUGAGGGAAAGUCACAGAGUUUAGAUUUGUAAGUUGUCGUAAACGAAAAGUUACUAUUUGUAUUGCUAUGAUUGAGUUUUGAGUUAAUAAAUAGUUAAAUGUUUGUUUGUAUAUUUAUUCUCCUUCUCUUCCCAAAUACUUUUAUAUGUGUUAAAAUUGCUUUUGUUUCUUAUUUGUGCUCUAUUAUCAAAAAAAAAAAAAAAGUCUUCCCUACUCUUCUAAAUGGGGCCAAUGGGUGAUAGAAAAGGCCCAUGGCCUAGGUUGGCCAUCUCUUGGGGUACCAAUGGGUUUGGUUUGGAUUCGAACUCGGCUCAGGCCCGAUAAUUUUUUCCGAAUAUGGGUUGAGAAAUAAUUCCAAUACCCGGAUCCGUUUACUCUAACAAAAAAUAGGUUGGAUACAGAAUAUAGGAUUCCAACCCAGAUCCAAACAAUAUACUAAUAAUUAUAAAAUAUAAAUAUUUCUAAAUACAUUCUUUUACCAAAUUAACAAUUUAGUAAUGAUUUUGUAAAUUGAUUUGUGGUUAGUUUUGUAUUGACUAUUGAAUUAUUUGUGAUUUAGUUUUAUAAUUUGAUUUGUUUAAUUUUGGAGAUGGAUUUAUGAUUGGUUUUGGAUUUAAUUUUAAAAUGUUUAAAUUUGGAUUUUUUUUUGCCGAAUAGACCUAGAUUCGACCCACAGCCCGUCGAACCCAAUUCCAAAACUCUAAGAUCAAGACCCAUUGGGUAUACGGGUCGGGUCUGGAUUUAUUACAUAAAAAUGGGUUAGAUUCAGAAUUUUCAGUUUCGAUCAUAAUCCCGACCCGUUGACAAGCCUAGCCGCCUCCGUUGCACUUGGGAGGGUUACCUGCCUAAGGUCUGUCUACAUGGCAGGGUCUAUGUAAUAAUUUGUGAUAGCGAGGGUUUCCAUUCGCAAAUGAAAAAAAUAGAAGAGGCUAAAAAAAAAACUCUUGCCAAGUCAGCAUACUACAUGUCUUUUGACUUAAGCCAUUAUUAAAAUCGCGAAAAUGAUGUCCAAUGAUUCAUUCAACUUUUUUUUUGUUUUUGAGGGUAAUGACAUUCAACUUGAAUAUCCGAUCUAUGUGGCAAUACGAAAAGACAAUUUCAGUUCCCAAUCUUAGUUUAAUAUAGCCCAAAAUGCAACGAAGCCUUUUUAUAAUAUAUUCCUAAUACACUUGUCCAACCUCAUCCAGUCCAUGGACCAAAUGAGCUAGACCUCUGAAGUAUCACUUCUAAGAGCAUUAUCUCUUCGUGUGUUUUUCAUCUGUGUUUUUAAACUUGGAUCGGACCUGUUGGUUCGAUCGAUCGAACUGAAAAUCGGCCAAGUGUCUAGUCUCAAUUAUCCUAAAAAAUCGGAUAGAUAGAAAUUCGGUCAAAUUAGGUCAAAAAUCGGAUUUGAUUGAGUUUGACCAAAAAAACUGGAAGAAUCUAUUAGUGUCAAAGUUUUUUUUUUUUUUGAAAAAGUCAAAGCAUUUUCAGUAUUAUGUUUUGAACCCUAGGUUGUUAAAAAUUAUUAAUAUACCUCAAAUAUUUCAUACUUUAUAAAUAUUGUCCUAAAGUUUGGUGUUAUUUUUCAAUCAAGUCCAUAAUUUUAAUUCUAAACUUGUUAAUGUUCAUUCAAUAAUAUAAAUUGCUACUUGAUCAUUCUAAUUUGUUUGUAUUUUCUUGUUAAAUAUAUUUUAAACAUCAAAUAUAUAUGAAUAUACAUUUAUUAAUAUUAACAUGUGCUUAAGUAUUUUACAUACAAUAUUUAAAUUUUUAAAUAAUUUUUAUUUAUGACGUUAUCUGAUUUAACCCUGAUAGAAUCCAUUAACCCCUGACUUCUGAAUUUAACCGAGUUGAUACUGUGAGGACUCGAAAUUUCUAUUAUUUUAAAAUCCUUAAUUUUGGCUCAAUUAAUAUUUAUUUGGAUUUUUGCCACGAAUAAUAUUUUCUAGCCUAUUAGAUCUAAGUACAUGAUUUUAUAGUUCGUUAUAUUUCUAAAGUGUCUCAUUUCAAAAAAAAAUAAAAUAAAAAUAUAGAUGAAUAAACAAAUAUUUUCAUAAAAACUUAAUUAGUGAAAAAGUGAAAAACGUAUUUCAACUUUAGCCAAUUGGGAGUGCAAUAAGCUAAAAAUUUAAGACAUAUACAAUGGUCCUAAAAUAGACAAUUUUAGGUUUAAACACACAAGUAAUAACUAGUGGUACAAUCGUUAUAAGAAUUUUUCAAAGGUUUCAAUUUUAUUGCGCCUAAAUUAGAAAUACGUGUUUUCACGUGCGCGUUUAAUUGGGAGACUUUGGACCAUUAUUUUGAGACAACUAGGAAUGAAUAAUAUUUAUACAAAUGUAAGUGCCCUAGAGGUUUAGUGUUCUAGUGCAACAAACGUAAGAGAAAUCGAACACAAAACGCGAGUGUAGGGUACUAGUUAUAAUUGAUUUGACGUAUUAAAAGAUUUGACGUCAAGCGUCUCUUAUACGCAAAGGCUUCGGAACCGCAAUUCAUUUCCUUUCCUCUGCUGCAAUGGACGGCUAGACUGCAGCAAAGGAACAACCGAAGCUUCACCAUUUCUUCUCUUCCAAAACUCAACCAAAUUCCUACCAAAACUUGCAUAGAUUCUCACCAAACUUCACAUUCAUUUAGCUUUUCACUUGGACAACAACAUAGGCUGAAAAAGGGAGGAGCUUUCACGGUUUCUUCAAGCUUCAAAGGACCGAAAAAUCUGUCCAAACCAGCCAUCAAAGUAGGUAGCAAUCUAACACCUUCAACUUGUCUUAUGGAAGUUGAUUUACGCAUUUGAGUUGGAAUCUUUACUUUAAUAGCUUGUAUUGUUGGAAGUGUGGGCUCUAUGAACUCCCACUUUGGGUUGAUGGCUGUGAUGAUGUUUUAUGAUGGUUUAUUUGCUGAAUUAGAGCUUAAGGAAGUAGAUUAAAGGUGCUUUGUUACCAGAAACGUUAUUGAACUCUUGAAAUAAAAAGUUCCCAUUUUACCCCUGCUCUGUUCGGUCACUUAAAUGCAGAAAUUUGAGGAUUUAAUGGCUUGAUUAUGUUGUAUAUAUGUUUUAGUAGUUGUGUACAAAAUUUCAUUGAAAAAUAUUGAGUUUUGAAGGGUCAAACGAAUUUAUUUCCAAAGCUAGUAAUCUGGGAAAACGGUUGCCGUCGUAACCAAACCAGUGUUCGUGUUUCGUCCAUAACUCCGUACUCCGACGUCAAAAUCAAGUGCCAUUAGCGGCAUUUGAAACUAGACAUUCCCAUGUUUCCAACAGUGUAUAGUGCACAUUCUGGUUUCAUGUGUGUGAGCCACACCAUUCAUCUGAAGUCGGCUGUCCUGUUUCUCCGUUCUGCCGAAAUGAUUUGAUGAUGCUGCAACUUGAGGCUUGAUUUUGAACCAGUUGCAUGCUGAAACUUGUAACGAUUUCUUCUGUAAAGUUGUAGCCCUAUGAAUUUAUUUUCUAACACUAUCAACCAUUUCUAAUUCCGAGUUAAAUUGAGAGAGUUAUGAUCAAAAUACGGCGACUGCCUCAUUUUUGAAAACCUUAGCUUUGGACAGAUUGCCUUAAGGAUUUUUCCAAACUUUGGUUGAUUGAAUGACCACCCUUCCGAGGGUAUUUUUCCAUGAAAUUUCAUAGAGAGAUAACCUUCAUAUGGAAGUAUUAUACUGCAAAAUUUGGUGUCAAUCCAAGUCCGUUUAGGCACUUAACUAAAGGUCCAAAGUUGGAACCAAAUCUGGAAAUUUUGUAACAAUCUUGAAUUUUCCCCAACUUCGAGCUACCGUAUCUUGGUACUCGAAACUCCGAUUCUUGAGCCGCUUGGUCCAUCCAAAACUUUACUUGCAGUUCUAAGUGAGUUAUAAGUUUCAAGGGCCGGUUUCCAACGAGUGAUUUUUGCCGAAUUUCCAAAAUUAGCGAAAAACCAACCCGGCUCAAUCCUAGCAAUCUAGAACAGUAACUUUAGGCUCAUUUUUGAAUGCCUUCCACUUAGAUUCAUGGAAUGGUGUCUUCUAAGAACUUUUAGUACUUUCAAAGACGAUUCCAACGGUACCAAAUUCAUCAAGUUUCGAUUAGUAGAAAAGAAGUUAUGAUUUUUCAAAGAUUUGACCAAAAAUCAAAAAUUCUGAAAUUUCAAAGGAAAUCCGCGAAGGAACAAUUUUCCAGAAUCCGGCCUUGAAUCCGGCCAGAAACUGGCCGGAUUGUCGGCCGGAUUGGUGGCCAAAAUUGAAAAAAGGGGGUUAGCCACUGCCUCCAAUCCGGCCGGAUAUCCGGCCAGGUUCCGGCCGGAUUGUGACGUGGCCAACCUUCCUUCGAUUUCGAUCGUUCGUUUUGCAAUCUUUUCGCUCGUACUUGUUUCCAACCAAUGAUUUUAAGGAUAAUAAUCCAAUUUUUGUACUUAAGUUUUACACCCUUUUGAGAAUUCAACUUCAAAGGCAAGUCAAACGAAGUUUUCAAUUAUUUUCGAACCUUACUCGUGUUCAAUCUUUCUCACCACUUGGGGACCUACAGUAAUUAUCUAAUAUACGAUGUUCAGGCAUGCACGAGGACCUCCAAGAGGACCCUACUGUGGAAGUUUGAACUCUCCCUCCAACCUACUAGCUUGCAUAACUUGGUGAGUGUCAAGUGUAUGCCUACUUGAACUCUAAAGUCUUGAUUCAUGCUUGAUUCACCUGAUUUCAUGCUUAGCUUAACUGAUUUUGACAAAAUGGAGUCGAGUGUGUACUUGAUCGCACUCGUUCUCAUUUGAAACGAAUGACUCAUGCUUAACAUGAUUUGCUUGAUUUACAUGACUUGAAAUGCCUGCUUAAACCUAUCAAAUGCUUGAAUACAUGAAAUGGUAUGCUAUGAUUGCAUACGUCGAUGGAGUGAAUCUCCUCGACAUUUACAUGACACAUGGGGGACGCCCAAACUCAUAGGCCGACCUUGGAACUCGAGCCGGCAUUGGCUUGGUCGGAAACCUCGGCGAACCAUGAGAUUCAAAUGAUAAGCUUGAUCUAUUGAGAGAUCUCGCUUGGCAUACUCGUAAAGUAUCGCCUUAUAAAUGUCGUGCGGGCCCGAAGUGGUGUAUGGUGGACGGAUGGGAAGUAAGUGAUGAACUACGGAUAUGAAAAUAUCAAUCCGGUUGACGGAGAGUCAUCACGGAAAGAUAUAUAAAUGGUAUCGGCAAAUGUGGAACUUAGCUCCUGAGAGCUUCUAUAUCCUUGAAUUGUUUCUGGUUACAGUUUAUUGGUGUUAUUAAUUACUUGCAAGCUAAUACCUGAAUUGUUAUUUAGGAUUGUUAUCUGAACUAUGUGUUUGCAUGUGUGUUCUUGGCCUCACGAGCGUUUUGCUCACCCUGUAGAUUUGUUUUCCUUAACAGGUUGAGUUCAGAGGUAAAAUGGAGCAGCCCUCUUGAUGUGCUUUUGUUUUAGGGUUGCUAUUACUUUUGUUUAUGCCUUUGGCUUUGGACGAAAUGUAUUAUGUAUGCUGACGGGUGGUUUGAAGAAUGGAUAACUGUUAUUAAGUUUGAACACUUCCGCAAUUAUUGUAUCUAAGUUAUCGAUUUGUAUUGUGUGGUCCGGAUAUAAGUUGAAUGGAAUUGCUUGAGUCCUGGUGAGAGCUAGGCAGGUGUCCCGCGGAUACCCUUUGGUUCGCCUUAGGGAGAAGUGGGGGCGUCACAGUUGGUAUCAGAGCGCUAGGUUAGAGAUCUAUAUGGGAAACAUAUUAGAUACUCUACCUUAAGACUCGAUAUGGGAUGACUUAGUCAUACCCUAAGUGAUACUUGAGGCGAGCUAGCAACUAAGUUAGUCCUACCUCAAGUGACAAUUGGGAUGAACCAAUGAUUAGGUUAGGCAUGCAUUGCAAGAUAUUGGAACUAAAUAGAGAUUUAAAUUUCUAACCCAAAAGGUGCUAUUAUGUUGCAGGGAUGGACAACGGAAAUGGAGUUCCGGCAGCUAACGGGAAUGGCCAUGCUAAUGAUCAUAUAGCGCCUCCUAGACCUAUCUUUUAUCGAGCUUUGGCUGGGGAAGCUCGAGUACGCUACUCCCCAUCUGACCGAUAUCCCCGAUGUGCUUGUAGGGUGACCUUUGCUUACCCAAACCAUGUUGUACUGGCCUUGGACGACGAGCGUCGUCAGUUGGUGACUGCCAACUUAGACUUACAGGCUGAGGUCGAUGAGCUUCGACAGAUGGUGAGCGCUCAGGGCGAGAGGGUCGCCGAGCUUGAGGAGGUGAUUGAGGGCGAGGUUGCCACAUCUGCUGUGGUUAACGAGGAGCUCCGGAGCACUAGGGCUCAGCUUACUAGGCUGAGAGAGGAGGUCCGUAGUCGGGCUUCCGAUAUUGUAGCUGAUGCCACUAGGCUAGUUGAUGAGGCUAUGGGGGUAGCCCAGGAUUCUGGGGAGGAUCCGGAGGAGGAUCCUGAGGAGGAGGUUCCUCCUGAUAGUCCUGCUGCGGAUUAGGUCUAGAUUGAUCGACCUCUUUUGACUUUUUGACUAGUAUUAGCAGGGGUGAUGCUAAGUGCUGAGGCCAUUGUAUUUUGCAUGACUGUGUGGCCUACUUCUGAGGCACUAGAUUUACUUUAGUCUUCUGUGACUAAAAGUAUUCUUAUGGCACCUGUGUGCUAUAUUUUUGUGAUUACCCCCUGACUUGCUAAUUGUAUGAAUUGGAUAUGCUAAUUAAUGUAAAUUAUUGUUAAUUCCAAUGUUUUCUUGAUUGGUUCCUGCUUUCUAUUUUGCAUCGCAUAAUUUAUUUAUUUCUUGCACUAGGCACGCCUAGGUCAUGGAAGGACUAAGAGGUGGUCGAGGUCGUGGUUGAGACCGUGGUCGAGGUCGUGGGCGAGGGACUAGUCAGGCCCAACCUCAAGGGGGUGACCAGGGAUCGACAACUGCACCGAUCCAAUGUCAGGAAAAUAUUGAGGGUAAUCAAGUGGCUACUGCCAUUAAUAGGAUGACUGAUAUCCUAGAGCGUUUGGCUGAUAGACAGGACCCUGGACCGUUCAACCAACCUGGGGGUCAGGAAAGAGGAAUGGAUAGAGCCUUAGAGAGAUUCUUGAAAUUUAACCCGCCUAAAUUUCUUGGCGAACCUGAUCCUGAGGUGGCGGAGAAUUGGUUAGAAAGGAUGACCAAUAUAUUCGCUGCUUUAGACUACACUGAGGAUAGGCGAGUGAAUUUCGCUGCUUUCCAAUUUGAGGGGGUAGCCCGUGCUUGGUGGGAUUUGAUAAAAAGAAAAUGGGAGAGAACUCAAAACCCUUGGACUUGGGAUAAUUUCACAAGGGAAUUUAAAGAAAAGUUUCUCCCGCCCUAAAUCCAAGAGAAGAGGGAGAAUGAAUUUAUCAAACUGAAACAGGGAACCCUUAGUGUAGCAGAGUAUGAAGGAAAAUUUACUAAACUUUCAAAGUAUGCUCCCGAACUGGUGACAAAUGAGCGAAAAAGGAUUAGACGGUUUGUUCAAGGACUUAAUGUGGAGAUACAAGAGGGCCUGGCCGCAGCCCAAAUCUCUACAUUUACUGAGGUUUUAGAGAAGGCACAAACGGUUGAAAGUGCAAGGUCUCAAGUGAGAGACUUCCAUAGCAGAAAGAUAAACUUUUCUAGCCAUGCUUCUGGACAAGUUAGUAAAAAUGUACAGCCUUCCAAAAUGGAAAAAGAAAUGGGAGGACCAAGGACUGCUGGACCUUCGAGAGGAGCUUUAUCUAGAGGAGGUCGUAGGGGACCGACACAGGCAAGAAGGGCACCUUCUAGCGGUUCAGCGGUGACCCCUCAAGUUUCAUGUGGUUACUGCAGAAAACCAAACCAUUCUGAAAGUGAUUGUUGGAGGAAGUCUGGGAAGUGCCUGGCUUGUGGUAGUACCGAGCAUCAGCUUGCGAACUGUCCAAAUAAAAUGAAGACGGGAGGUGAUACCCAAAGGCCAGAAAAGUCAGCUUCUAAGCAAACUAGUGCCGGAGGGAGUCGACCGAAAGUACCGGCUAGGGUUUAUGCACUGGACUAUCAACAAGUUCCUGAGGCAACUGAGAUGGUAGAAGGUACGAUUCCGAUCUUUCACCAUUUACCUAGGGUUUUAAUAGAUCCAGGUGCUACACAUUCUUUUGUAAACUCUAAUUUCAUGAAUGGGAUAGACUUGAAACCAAUUAAUUUACCAUAUGAUCUAGAGGUUAAAACGCCUACUGGGGAUCAAAGUCUAAUUGCUAAUUUGGUGUAUCAAGGUUGUGAAAUCUGGAUUGGGGAACGAAAAUUAUCGGCUGAUUUGAUGGGAUUGAUGAUUAAAGGAUACGAUGUAAAUUUAGGAAUGGAUUGGUUAGCCCGUUAUAAUGCUCAGCUAAACUGUAGGACGAAGGUUGUGGAGUUGCGUAUUCCAGGAGAGGCAACCCUGAAACUGGAUGUAAAGGGUAAAUUAGCUUCGUCUGCACUUAUUUCAGGAAUUCGGGCUAGAAAGUUGUUAAGUAAAGGAGCUCAAGGAUAUUUGGCUUUUCUUAUUAACACCCCUAGUGAUAAAGUGAAUUUGGAGGACAUGCCUGUAGUGAAAGAUUUUCCUGAUAUUUUUCCUGAAGAAUUGGAGUCUCUACCCCCAGAACGGGAAAUAGCCUUUAAGAUUGAUGUAACUCCGGGAGUAACCCCUAUUUCUAGGACGCCAUAUCGAAUGGCUCCAGCCGAAUUGAAGGAGUUGAAAUUGCAAUUGCAAGAUUUGUUAGAAAGAGGUUUUAUUAAAGAGAGUGAUUCUCCGUGGGGAGCCCCAGUUUUGUUUGUUAAGAAAAGGGACGGGAGUUUGAGGCUAUGUAUAGACUAUAGAGGUUUAAAUAAUGUUACAACUAAGAAUAAAUACCCACUGCCCCACAUUGAUGAGUUGUUUGACCAGUUACAAGGGGCUGUAGUAUUUUCUAAGUUGGACUUGAGGCAGGGUUAUUAUCAGUUGAGGAUUUUGGAGAAAGAUAUACCCAAGACUGCUUUUAACUCGAGAUAUGGGCAUUUUGAAUUUGCCGUGAUGCCAUUUGGGUUAACGAAUGCUCCUGCUGCUUUUAUGGAUCUAAUGCAUAGGGUCUUUAAACCUUAUCUAGACCAAUUUGUGGUGGUCUUUAUUGAUGAUAUAUUGGUGUAUUCUAAGAAUGUGUAAGACCAUGAGAAACACUUGAUGGUUGUUUUACAGACCUUAAGGGAGCACCAAUUGUAUGCUAAGUUUAGCAAGUGUGAAUUUUGGUUAAAAGAAAUGACUUUCUUGGGACACAUAAUUUCUAAGGAAGGGAUUAAAGUGGAUCCAGCUAAAGUUGAAGCUGUUUCAAAAUGGAAACGACCGGAAAACCCUACCGAGAUUCGAAGUUUCAUUGGAUUAGCAGGGUAUUACCGGAGAUUCAUUCAGGAUUUUUCAAAUAUUGCUGGACCCAUGACUGAAUUGACCAAGAAAAAUAGGAAGUUUAUAUGGAGUCCUAAGUGUGAGGAAAAUUUUCAGGAAUUGAAAAGACGGUUAACAAGGGCACCUGUGUUGGCUUUGCCAAACGGAAAAGAUAGUUUUGUGGUUUACACAGAUGCUUCUAAGGAAGGACUGGGUUGUGUUUGAAUGCAAGAUGGCAAAGUAAUAGCAUAUGCCUCUAGGAAAUUGAAACCACAUGAAGGGAAUUACCCGACUCAUAAUUUGGAGUUAGCGGUGGUGGUCUUUGCUUUGAAGAAAUGGAGACAUUAUUUGUAUGAGGUAACAUCUGAGGUUUUUACAGACCACAAAAGUCUUAAGUACUUGUUUUCUCAAAAGGAGCUGAAUUUGAGGCAACGUAGAUGGAUGGAAUUUUUGGAAAACUAUGAUUGUACUAUCAAGUACCAUCCAGGGAAAUCUAAUGUAGUGGCCGAUGCCUUGAGUCGUCAAGUACAAAUGGCUGGAUUGAUGAUUAAGGAGUUUCAAUUAUUGGAAGAAGUGAGUUACUGGAAUCCUCGAUUGGAACCAAGGAAGGUAAUUUUGGGGAAUAUUAUAGUAACCUCCACUCUAUUGGAACGCAUCAAGGAAUUUCAAGAAAAGGACACGGAAGUGCAAAAAUGGGUGGAAAAGAGUAAAAUGGAAGACAAUACAGAUUUUAAUUUGGGGUCAGAUGGAAUAUUGAGGUUUCAGAAUCGAGUAGUUGUGCCAAAGGAUGAAGGGCUUAAAAGGGAAAUCUUAGAAGAGGCACACCGAUCAAAGUUUACGGUACAUCCAGGAGGGAAUAAAAUGUACCAGGACUUGAAGAGUCUGUAUUGGUGGGAGAACAUGAAGAAGGAAAUUGCCCAAUUUGUCCAAACAUGUUUAAUUUGUCAACAAGUUAAAGCCGAACAUCAGAAACCGUCAGGACUUUUGCAACCCCUAGAAAUACCUGAGUGGAAAUGGGAAAAUAUCACUAUGAAUUUUGUAUCGGGAUUACCCAGAACGCAGAGAGGCCAUGAUGCAAUUUGGGUAAUAGUGGAUAGAUUGACUAAAUCGGCCCAUUUUCUGCCGAUUAGCAUGAAGUACCCGUUGGAAAAGUUGGCCAAAUUGUAUUUGGAUGAGAUCAUUAGGUUGCAUGGCAUACUUGUGAGUAUUGUGUCCGACAGGGAUCCGAGAUUUGUUUCAAGAUUCUGGCAAAAGAUGCAGGAGGUAUUGGGGACUAAGUUGAACUUUAGUACCACUUAUCAUCCUCAGACUGAUGGACAGUCAGAAAGGACAAUUCAAACACUUGAGGACAUGUUAAGGACAUGUAUUCUGGACUUUGGAGAAAAUUGGAGUAAGUUUUUAACUUUAGUGGAAUUUGCCUACAACAAUAGUUUCCACUCUUCUAUUCAGAUGGCCCCGUAUGAGUCACUUUAUGGUCGAAAAUGUAGGUCUCCAAUUUGUUGGGAAGAAAUAGGUGAACGGAAGAUUCUAGAUCCGACCACAGUAUCUUGGAUUGAAGAAGCUAAUGAAAAGGUAAAGUUGGUACGACAAAGAAUUCAGGUUGCUCAGAGCCGCCAAAAGAGUUAUGCUGAUAAUCGGAGGAAAGAAUUGGAGUUUAAUGUUGGAGAUUUGGUAUUUCUCAAGAUUACACCUCUGAAAGCAAGGUUGAAGUCUGGGAAAGGAAAGAAGUUACAACCAAGAUUUGUAGGACCUUAUAAGAUUAUCCAACGUGUGGGGAAUGUAGCCUAUAAGUUGGAAUUACCGCCGAGUUUAUCUCGAAUCCAUAAUGUGUUUCAUGUAUCUAUGCUUAAGAAGUAUCAUCCGGACCCUUCUCACGUCUUACAACUGGAAAAUGUUGAGAUUGAUGAGACCUUAACCUAUGAGGAGAAACCGGUUACACUUCUGGAUAGGAAGGUAAAGGAAUUGAGGAAUAAACAGAUACCAUUAGUGAAGGUCCUCUGGAAGAACCAUGGGUUGGAGGAAGCAACUUGGGAGGUCGAAGAAGCAAUUCGAGAAAAGUAUCCAGACCUGUUCGUCAAUCAAGGUAAAUUUCGAGGACGAAAUUGUUUAAGGGGGAGAGGAUGUGAGGAUUCGAAAUUUCUAUUAUUUUAAAAUCCCUAAUUUUGGCUCAAUUAAUUAUUUAUUUGGAUUUUUGCCACGAAUAAUAUUUUCUAGCCUAUUAGAUCUAAGUACAUGAUUUUAUAGUUCGUUAUAUUUCUAAAGUGUCUCAUUUUAAAAAAUAAAAUAAAAUAAAAAUAUAGAUGAAUAAACAAAUAUUUUCAUAAAAACUUAAUUAGUGAAAAAGUGAAAACGUAUUUCAACUUUAGCCAAUUGGGAGUGCAAUAAGCUAAAAAUUUAAGACAUAUACAAUGGUCCUAAAAUAGACAAUUUUAGGUUUAAACACACAAGUAAUAACUAGUGGUACAAUCGUUAUAAGAAUUUUUCAAAGGUUUCAAUUUUAUUGCGCCUAAAUUAGAAAUACGUGUUUUCACGUGCGCGCUUAAUUGGGAGACUUUAGACCAUUAUUUUGAGACAACUAGGAAUGAAUAAUAUUUAUACAAAUGUAAGUGCCCUAGAGGUUUAGUGUACUAGUGCAAUAAACGUAAGAGAAAUCGAACACAAAACGCGAGUGUAGGGUACUAGUUAUAAUUGAUUUGACGUAUUAAAAGAUUUGACGUCAAGCGUCUCUUAUACGCAAAGGCUUCGGAACCGCAAUUCAUUUCCUUUCCUCUGCUGCAAUGGACGGCUAGACUGCAGCAAAGGAACAACCGAAGCUUCACCAUUUCUUCUCUUCCAAAACUCAACCAAAUUCCUACCAAAACUUCCAUAGUUUCUCACCAAACUUCACAUUCAUUUAACUUUUCACUUGGACAACAACAUAGGCUGAAAAAGGGAGGAGCUUUCACGGUUUCUUCAAGCUUCAAAGGACCAAAAAAUCUGUCCAAACCAGCCAUCAAAGUAGGUAGCAAUCUAACACCUUCAACUUGUCUUAUGGAAGUUGAUUUACGCAUUUGAGUUGGAAUCUUUACUUUAAUAGCUUGUAUUGUUGGAAAUGUGGGCUCUAUGAACUCCCACUUUGGGUUGAUGGCUGUGAUGAUGUUUGAUGAUGGUUUAUUUUCUGAAUUAGAGCUUAAGGAAGUAGAUUAAAGGUGCUUUGUUACCAGAAACGUUAUUGAACUCUUGAAACAAAAAGUUUCCAUUUUACCCCUGCUCUGUUCGGUCACUUAAAUGCACAAAUUUGAGGAUUUAAUGGCUUUAUUAUGUUGUAUAUAUGUUGUAGUAGUUGUGUACAAAAUUUCAUUGAAAAAUAUUGAGUUUUGAUGGGUCAAAUGAAUUUAUUUCCAAAGCUAGUAAUCUGGGAAAACGGUUGCCGUCGUAACCAGACCAGUGUUCGUGUUUCGUCCAUAACUCCGUACUCCGACUUUGAAAUCAAGUGCUGUUAGCGGAAUUUGAAACUAGACGUUCCCAUGUUUCCAACGGUGUAUAGUGUACAUUCUGGUUUCAUGUGUGUGAGCCACACCAUUCAUCUGAAGUCGGCUGUGCUGUUUCUCUGUUCUGCCGAAAUGAUUUGAUGAUGCUGCAACUUGAGGCUUGAUUUUGAACUAGUUGCAUGCUGAAACUUGUAACGAUUUCUUCUGUAAAGUUGUAGCCCUGUGAAUUUAUUUUCUAACACUAUCAACCAUUUCCAAUUCUGAGUUAAAUUGAGAGAGUUAUGAUCAAAAUACUGCGACUGCCUCAUUUUUGAAAACCUUAGCUUUGGACAGAUUGCCUUAAGGAUUUUUCCAAACUUUGGUUGAUUGAAUGACCACCCUUCCGAGGGUAUUUUUCCAUGAAAUUUGAUAGAGGGAUAACCUUCAUAUGGAAGUAUUAUACUGCAAAAUUUGGUGUCAAUCCAAGUCCGUUUAGGCACUUAACUAAAGGUCCAAAGUUGGAACCAAAUCUGGAAAUUUUGUAACAAUCUUGAAUUUUCCCCAACUUCGAGCUACCGUAUCUUGGUACUCGAAACUCCGAUUCUUGAGCCGCUUGGUCCAUCCAAAACUUUACUUGCAGUUCUAAUGAGUUAUAAGUUUCAAGGGCCGGUUUCCAACGAGUGAUUUUUGCCCAAUUUCCAAAAUUAGCGAAAAACCAACCCGGCUCAAUCCUAGCAAUCUAGAACAGUAACUUUAGGCUCAUUUUUGAAUACCUUCCACUUAGAUUCAUGGAACGGUGUCUUCUAAGAACUUUUAGUACUUUCAAAGACGAUUCCAACGGUACCAAAUUCAUCAAGUUUCGAUUAGCAGAAAAGAAGUUAUGAUUUUUCAAAGAUUUGACCAAAAAUCAAAAAUUCUGAAAUUUCAAAGGAAAUCCGUGAAGGAACAAUUUUCCAGAAUCCGGCCUUGAAUCCGGCCAGAAACUGGCCGGAUUGUCGGCCGGAUUGGUGGCCAAAAUUGAAAAAAGGGGGUUAGCCACUGCCUCCAAUCCGGCCAGAAAUCCGGCCGGAUAUCCGGCCAGGUUCCGGCCGGAUUGUGACGUGGCCAACCUUCCUUCGAUUUCGAUCGUUCGUUUUGCAAUCUUUUCGCUCGUACUUGUUUCCAACCAAUGAUUUUAAGGAUAAUAAUCCAAUUUUUGUACUUAAGUUUUACACCCUUUUGAGAAUUCAACUUCAAAGGCAAGUCAAACGAAGUUUUCAAUUAUUUUCGAACCUUACUCGUGUUCAAUCUUUCUCACCACUUGGGGACCUACAGUAAUUAUCUAAUAUACGAUGUUCAGGCACGCACGAGGACCUCCAAGAGGACCCUACUGUGGAAGUUUGAACUCUCCCUCCAACCUACUAGCUUGCAUAACUUGGUGAGUGUCAAGUGUAUUCCUACUUGAACUCUAAAGUCUUGAUUCAUGCUUGAUUCACCUGAUUUCAUGCUUAGCUUAACUGAUUUUGACAAAAUGGAGUCGAGUGUGUACUUGAUCGCACUCGUUCUCAUUUGAAACAAAUGACUCAUGCUUAACAUGAUUUGCUUGGUUUACAUGACUUGAAAUGCCUGCUUAAACCUAUCAAAUGCUUGAAUACAUGAAAUGGUAUGCUAUGAUUGCAUACGUCGAUGGAGUGAAUCUCCUCGACAUUUACAUGACACAUGGGGGACGCCCAAACUCAUAGGCCGACCUUGGAACUCGAGCCGGCAUGGGCUUGGUCGGGAACCUCGGUGAACCAUGAGAUUCAAAUGAUAAGCUUGAUCUAUUGAGAGAUCUCGCUUGGCAUACUCGUAAAGUAUCGCCUUAUAAAUGUCGUGCGGGCCCGAAGUGGUGUAUGGUGGACGGAUGGGAAGUAAGUGGUGAACUACGGAUAUGAAAAUAUCAAUCCGGUUGACGGAGAGUCAUCACGGAAAGAUAUAUAAAUGGUAUCGGCAAAUGUGGAACUUAGCUCCUGAGAGCUUCUAUAUCCUUGAAUUGUUUCUGGUUACAGUUUAUUGGUGUUAUUAAUUACUUGCAAGCUAAUACCUGAAUUGUUAUUUAGGAUUGUUAUCUGAACUAUGUGUUUGCAUGUGUGUUCUUGGCCUCACGAGCGUUUUGCUCACCCUGUAGAUUUGUUUUCCUUAACAGGUUGAGUUCAGAGGUAAAAUGGAGCAGCCCUCUUGAUGUGCUUUUGUUUUAGGGUUGCUAUUACUUUUGUUUAUGCCUUUGGCUUUGGACGAAAUAUAUUAUGUAUGCUGACGGGUGGUUUGAAGAAUGGAUAACUGUUAUUAAGUUUGAACACUUUCGCAAUUAUUGUAUCUAAGUUAUCGAUUUGUAUUGUGUGGUCCGGAUAUAAGUUGAAUGGAAUUGCUUGAGUCCUGACGAGAGUUAGGCAGGCGUCCCGCGGAUACCCUUUGGUUCGCCUUAGGGAGAAGUGGGGGCGUCACAGAUACUCAGUCCGAGUCUAAAAACAUAAUUUUUCAUGUGUUGACAUCCACAUGAUGGCAUCUAUUUGUGGGAUUACCUGGCAUUAGAAACAAUUGAAGGUUUCCUAUAGUUAUUGAUCCAAUUGAAUUAGUGAGGAGAAAAUAUAUUAUUUGGUCUUGUGUGGACUUUGGAGCAAAAUAUUGAAUUUUACCCUUUUAUGCUUUCUCGCAUGCGCAUUCACACAUACACACACAUUUAUUUAUAAACACACUAGCCUCUCUCUUUUACCCUUUUAUGCCUGCUGGCACGUACACAUGCACAUACACAUGUUCGCAUGAGUAUUGAGUACGCAAAGAGAGAGAUUGGUAUAUACUAUUGCUUUGUAUGAGGCAUGAGAGUGGGAAGGGACAACUUUUAGCAAACGCAAAAGAAUUGUUAUGUUUCUAAAGAUUGUAGCCUUUGUGUGUAGAAUUAGUACUUGUGAUUGCAGGGGAUCGAUCCCGUGACUUAAACUAUUGAUGCCAGUUAAGUAACUAUCCAUUCGCUAUUGUCAUUCGGAAAUUAGUUUACAAUUAUCCAUUUUUCCUCAAAACAAAAAAUUCCUACAUGAAAAUCUUUUGAAAGUUACAAACAAGUGCAUUAUGUCUUAUACGAAGUAUGGAUAGUAAACUAUUGAACAACAAGUAAUCUGUCUAGCUUAUUUACAAUAAUAGUUUGCUUUGGUAUGAAACCAAUUCUUGAUAGAGGGAAACAUCUCGUGAGAGUCCGCCAAAGAGUCCAAUAUGAAAGUUAGAAACCCAACUUUGAUUCAAAAACUUAAGCCAAUAGGCCUUGGGUCCUUAUUUAAAUAUUAACGAUUCUUUUUCCAUCUCUCGGACCAAUGUGGGAUGUAAUCUUUUUACUCAUAAACCUAACACCUCUAAUGUAUACGAGUCAUUUUGUAGAAACAUUUAGAACCGUAGCUGGUGCUUUCUCUGAGAUUACUUUUUCAGAUGACCAAUAACAAAGAAAUUCCAUUUAGUUGUACAUAUAAUUCCAUUCAAAUGUCACUGAUAUUGAAAGUGAGUUAUAACAAAAGCACUAGCCUCGUCAGCCGUAAAACAAAUCAGAAAAGUUAGUUAUAACAAAAACACUAGCCUCGUCAGCCGUAAAACAAAUCAGAAAAGUUGUGUGUUUAUACAUAUAUACACAUAUAUAUAUAUAUGUAUGUAUGUAUAUAUGUGUAUAUGGAUUGUGUUGCACAUGAUUCAUCAAAGGAAUUAGCUAUAACAAAAAUACUGAACUUGUCAUAAAACAAAUCAGAAAUCGAAUGUUAUCCCUUCAAUAAAAUUCCAUGUGUAAUGAUCAAGACAACUUAUCAGCCACAAAUUCAGUUGGGCCUCCCACUAGAAUAUGUUAGAGUAGGAAUAGAGUAGGUCAUGAUGAUUGACAAAAAAUAAAUUAUAUCAUCUCUCUCUCUCUCUCUCUCUCUCUCUCUCUCUCUCUCUCUCUCUCUCUCUCUCUCGUACAGGAAAAUAUAUCCUCUCUUGCUUUUCUUAAAGGGACAAUUUCAGAAACCUCCCCUCAGGUUGUUAAUAAUGUCAUUGAACUCCCUCAAGGUUAUAAAAAUAACAUUUACCUCCUUCGCCCACAUAAAAUGACAAUAUUAUUUUUAAAAUUUUAAUAAAACUCUCUUGUUAGAUAUACUUUUACAAAGAAUGGUAUUAAUAAUUAUUUUUCUUUUCCUUUUCUAUUCUUAUUCCUUCUUUUUAUAUUUUGCCAAUAAAACCAUAAAAUAUAAUCAUUGACACCAUAAAUGUUGUACUAAUGACAUUUUUUAUGACUUUGAAUUUGAUCUAAUUUUUACUUGCUGAUUUUUUUUGGUACCAAAAGCAACAUUAACUCAAAAAAAAAAGCCCAAAAUUUCCACCAAGCUAUGAUAGUUCCACGAAUGCAAAAUUCUACAAACUUUAAAAGAAUUAUGAUGGUACUUUCUUUUUCAAAUUAAAAAAUACAUACCCUGGUAAAUCACCAUUAAAAGUAGUUUAUCAUAGUGAUAGAACUAUUGUCAUCUUUGCUUAUCAAAUAAUAAAUAUGGCAUUAAAAACUUCUUUCUGUACAUUUUGGAAUAUUCAUUAAAAAUUUUGACCAAGUCUAAGGUUUGGUUGCCAAAAAGUGUCAAAUUAGGGGAGGUAGGUGUAAUUUUUGAAACCUUAAGGGAGCUCAGUGAAAUUGUUAAAAAUCUUAGAGGAGGUUUAUGAAAUUAUCCCGUUCUUAAAUCUCACCUUCUUAAUUGUCUUUAUGAGGAAAAUUAAUAAGCCAUGUCACCGUGAGAUGAUGAUAAAACAUCCAUCCUUGCAUGCAUCAAAAAUUAGUUAACAUCUAAAGCAUUGUGCGUUGUUAUUAUAUAUUGGAUAUUCUUUACUUUUUAUUUACAUUUUUUUUAACAUUGUCGAGAAACUCUAGAUCAGUACUCAAGGGAAUUGAAAAUCCUUGCCAUCAAGGUCCUUGAGCAAAUGACAAAAGCAUUAGGAAUGAAGCUUGAAGAUAUGACAAUGCUUUUUCAAGAAGGGAUGCAAUCAAUAAGGACGAACUAUUGUCCUCCAUGUCCCCAACCUGACAUAGUGAUGGGCCUUUGCCCCCACUCUGAUGCUGCUGGGCUACCACAUUACUUCAAAUCAAUGACGUGGAAGGCCUCCAAAACAAAAAGGCUGGAACUUGGGUUGCUGUUGUACCGCAUCCUAAAGCAUUCAUAGUCAAUGUUGGAGACAUUACAGAGGUAAUCAUGCUCAAGAUCCUUUCUCCAUAGAUGUAAUGGGAGUAUAAACAAUCUCUUCGAAUUGCUUUUCUGUUUAUAUAAUUACAACAUCUAUCUAGUUUUUUAUGAGAUAAUUUCAAAUUGGUUUCUACAAUUUUGACCAUAUAUGGCAACUAGAUUGUCCUUCCCAUAUUUUAAUAGGAUUCAAGAGAUAAUCUUUCCGAUUAUGAUUAGUAUGCCUACACUAGGUUGAUGUAAGACUAAUUAUCAACUUGCACCGCCUAGAAAAUUAGGCCAGGUCAAAGUGUAGCUUUCAUCCCAAAAUUUAACUUUUGACAAAUUUGUGCCUAAACUUCUAACUUCGGCUGCUUAGUCAGAGUUAAACGAAUGUUGUUUAUUGAUAGAAUAUUGGCUACUUUAAUGGAACACGUAUCUUUGUAAAGUCAAAAAAAGCAUAAAAUAUAUAGAUGAAAAGGUCUUUAUAUUGAAAAAGCAGUUUUAUUCAUAUUAGUAACCAAUUUAAUUAAUUAAUUACUUCAUUAUUCGAGUAAUAUUGCCCAAGAAUGUAAAACUUGGGCAUAAUAACUUCAAAAUUAGUAUUGUACAUGCCCUUACACCCCACCCUCCAAAUUAUUGCUUACCUGUGAUGUACGAGUGGUGAAAUUCAAACUACUUUCCUUUCAUCAUUUUGAAAAAAAUACUUACUCUUUUUCCCAACAAGUUUGUUUUGAUUUUCAGAAAGGAAUUUACUUUUUGUCUUGAUUUCAAUGCUAAUUACAGGAGUUACUUACAAAUCAUGUCCUGGAUCUAUCAGGGUAUAGCUUCUGAAUUCUAUCUUCAAUGUUUUUGGGGCAUAACAGUAGCUAUAGGUGGACUCACAAGAUUACCCUGUUAACCAUAUCGUAUUAUUGAGCCUAAUUGAGCUUUUAUGAGAAUGUAUGCUACAUAGUACACAGUUGGGAAAAAUGUGACGUUUUUGAACUGAGAUGCAAAUUGUGCCAAACGGAAUUUACAAGAGUGUUGAGCAUCGGGCAACUGUGAAUUUGCACAACGAAGGGCUUUCCAUUGCAACGUUUCUUGUCCCAAAACUGGAUUGUGAUAUGGGUCCAGCGCCAAGUCUUAUCACCCCUGAAAAUCCAGCAAUUUUCAGAAGAAUUAGUAUCAUUGACUAUUUAAAAGCGUUUUUUUACCGUGAACUAGAUGGGAAAUCAUUCGUUGACGCAUUGAGGACCCAAAUCGAAGACUUUUAGGCUCUUAGUCCCUUUAUGAUAUUUCUCUUUGAAACUUGUGUACACUGUUGAUAUGGUGUCCCCUCACCAUUGCCUCCCCCAACUUUCAUUCACCACAAAUUGUAUAAUUGUUUAAGAAUUAAUCCCGUAUACAUUGAUACUAUUUAUGCUAUUAGAUUCGAAUGCAUGACAACUAAUAUUAAUUUAAAUUUAAAAUUCAAAAUUUGAAACAAAUAGUAUGUAUUGCUAAUAAUGUAUACAUUAUUAAUAUAAAGAAAAUUAAUCUAUUUUUUAAAUAUGAAAGAGAAUGAUGAGUAAUUGUAUGUGCUAUCAACGAUGCAUUAGAAGUCAUUCUUUAUGCCAGAUCUUGAUAAGGGGAACCCAAAAAAAAAAAACAAAAAAAACUCUUUGCUAUUUUACCUUUUCCCUCUAGUACUUAUUUUACGCACAAUUAUAAAUCUUUGAAUAUAUUGCUAUUCCAUAAGUUUGAUUUUCGUUUAUUUCAUAUUGUAUUCACUGGCAUAACUUCGCUCCUUCGAAUCUUACCCCAUCAACAUUGUGGAAAUUUAGCCAGAUGAAACCGAUUGGGAAUGUUUUAAAAGACGAAAGUGUUAGGCUGAUGGCCCCAAUUCUAACUUCUAAGCGGACAUCUCACUAUUCCUUUUAUUUUUCCCCCUAAAAGUUAAAACGUCAACUUCCAAGUGGGAUACGGGGCAGGAGCGGUCCUCAGACGACCGCUCCUGAACGGUCUCCUCACAGAAAGAAAGGUAAGGCCAGAAAUAAACCACGUCAAAAGGCUUCAGUUUGGCCCAAAACGACGUCGUUUUAUUAGGUGAGACAGUAAAAAAAAUGGUUAUGCUCUGCUAACCGUAACGGCAAGAAACGGAACGUUAUGACCACUAGUAAGCAAAGUCCCGCCCAAACCGAAAGGUUGAAAAUGAAAAGCCGCACUUAGACUCCCACCCAAACCAGACGAAGCAGUUGCAUGCGAAAAGCCACGAAGGGAGAAAUAAGAGGGGAAAAUACGAGAUUGGCAACACUCUCCGGCGUGACAUUGCGAAAAGCUGUGGAAGUGCAACAUUGGAUACUGAAAAAAUAGCAAGGAGAAGCAAGAAGUGGUGGAGUGGUGGACAAAUUUCUGGUGAUUCGGAUUUAUUAUAAGAAGAAGAAAGGUGAACCCAAGGUUGAAGAGCGGAAGAUCGUAAAGCGCGGGAGUAGUGAACGACCGAAAAUCAGUCAGGUAUUCAAAUUUUUUUGAGGCCUAUGAUGAUGCAGUAACAUGUGUGAUUUGACAUGCUUGUUGAAGGACCUUACUUGUGGAUGUUGUUGGCGUACAGUAGGAUGAUCGCUUAGAGGGAUAUCACUUGAGCACAAUUUUGUGUAUAGUAAUGAGUAAGUGCAGCAUGAUAGGAGUAUUAUGAGUUAGUUUUUGAGCAUGACAGAGUGAGAGUGGGAAAGAAGGGGGAAAUCGUGCGGCACAACUGUUUGAGAAAAUGUGUGCAUGGGUUCGAUAGUUAGUAUUGAAAAAAUGGAUGCAGAUUAUAAUUGAAAAAAUGUUAUCAUGAAAUUGGGAUGGCGUUUUUGGGUCUUGAAUGGUGUAAGUUUAUUGUAUUAGUUCGUGUGCACGAACACAGUGUUGGAUAAUUGUUACAUGUUGUGGUUGAACAGGUACAUAGAAAUAAUAGAGUUCAAAUGUUUUGUACUGAGUUGUGCGUCUCAUACUUGCUAAUGAAAAUGUUAUUUUGAAAUUGAGAUGUCAUAGUUGGGUCUUGAAUGGUGGGAAAGUUAUUGUAUUAGUUCGUGUGCAGGAACACAGUGUUGGAUAAUUGUUACAUGUUGUGGUUGGAUAGGUACAUAGAAAUAAUAGAGUUCAAAUGUUUUGUACUGAGUUGUGCGUCUCAUACUUGCUAAUGAAAAUGUUAUUUUGAAAUUGAGAUGUCGUAUUUGUGUCUUGAUUGGUGUAAGUUUAUUGUAUUAGGGCGUGUGCAUUAACACAGUGUUGGAAAAUUGUUACAUGUUGUGGUUUAACAGGUACAGAGAAAUAACAGAGUUUUAAUGUUUUGUACUCAGUUGUGCUUCUCAUAUUUUCUUUUACAUUGAUGUUACAGGUUAUUGGUUUACUUGCAUAAAGAGAGACAAGUUUCUAGGUUGGAAGUGAAUGAGUACGAGAGUAGGUUAUAAGUUGGCAAUGUGAGACAGACGGAAUAACAAAUCAUGAGGUUUAGCAUAGUUAGUGUGGAAUAACGGUUAAGAAUCUUACUAGUUAUUGUAGGUGCACAUCAUGUUGGAUAGUCAUUACACGCAGUCAUUUAAUAGUGACACUAGGAGAAGUGCACUGUAAAAUUGGAUGAACAAUGACGUAAAAUUGUUUAACGGGUUUGUUGCUUCAUUCAUAUUGUUGAAGAGGGUGAUAAAUAAAGGAGAAUGUGAUUGAAUUGAACUUGAUAGGCAGGGGAAUAGAUUAUGAAAUGACUAAAUGAGGGAUAAUUAACCAGAAAAUUUGGUAUUGAGACAAACAAAUUGUGAAAAGGAAGAUUACUUGUACAAUAAUUGUUGUGGUUGGACAUCAUCUUUGAUAGUUGUUACACGUAAUAGAUCAGAAGUUACAAUAAUAGAACUGGUCUAUAGAAUUUCAUGAAGAUACUAUAAAUUUGGAUGGCCCCUUAUUCUACUGCAUUGGUAUUGUACAGUAGCAUAAUAAAUAGAAGAAGAAAUUGAUGGAUGAAGUACAAUCUGAUAGGUAGAACAACAGAUUAUGUAGAUUAGUGGCAGUUGGAAUAAAUAACAAACUGUGAAGAAUGAGUUACUGAGUGUGAGAAAAAAUGUUACAGGUUGUACUAUAACUAGCGUGACUAAUAUUUGAUGCUCAUAUAUUAUGUUUAGCAGUACUUCAUGAUAUGUUCUGACUGUGGUUGGAAAAAAAAUUUUGGAACUGAAGUGCAAUAUGUUUGUUAAAAACAUUAGUUUACAAUGGCAAGAACGCGAGCAGGAAGCACACUUCAGGAAGCAGACAGAGAAGAACUCGCCGAAACAAGUGGUGGUACAGAACACGGUGCAGCACCCACUUCAUCGAAUAGGUAAGUGGCCAGUGCUUGCGUAAGGUCUUGGCAGGUUAGACUUGGCAUCAUUAUUCAGCAUUACAAUGUUGACUGUUCAGGGGCAGGAUAGGAAGGAAAAGAAGCAGUAAAAGGAAUGAUCGUUUAGGUGGGGAGAAAGAACUGAUUACAGCGGGAACAAGCGAGGUCGCAGAACCAGUCCCACCAUUGAAUCCAUGGAUGAAGUUCAGGUAAGAUUAUUGAAUAUGAGGGAAAAAUAAUGGUACUAAAUAGCACAUAUAACUUUGGAGUUUUGAAUGUGGACAGGAAAGAGUAUCAACACACGGUUUCGGCGAAGGGUGUUAAGCUGACCGAGGUAUGCUGUCCUAGCAAAAUAAACUGAAGAAUCAUUGAACUGAUAGGGUGCCUAAGGGAAAAAUAGUGAAACGAGCAAUUAUUUUGUGUUUAGUCUAACGUGUUUUUUGAUUUUAUUUAUUCAAUGCAGUACAAUGACAUUGCCCGGGCAGCAUAUAAUAAGUUGAGUGAGGAAGAAAUGAGGAAGCGAAAGGAGGAAUAUUUGAAAGAGAAAGAAGAGUAUGAGAAAGAAAUGGAACGACUAGGAAAGCCGAUAUUGCGAAAAGCACGGGUUCAAAUCAAGGUAAAUACAUGGCAUGAUUCAUCAAACAUUUAAUGAAACUUAUAUUAGUCUAAUGCAUAUAUCUAAAAAAUGGUGUAGAAUCAGAAGUACACUAUCCGAUGCUCGCCAAAGCAGAUGUCAAGUUUAGUUUCACGAAUCGAUGAAACUAAGAAGCAGCAGAUUAGAGACAUAGGAUUUGGAGGGCUGCUAGACAUACAGUGUCACUGGAUUCCUAGUGGCAUAGCUACCUGGCUUGUUGACAACUUUAAUCCGACAUUGAGCAGUUUAAAUGUACAUGGAGAUGGUGUGCUACCUUUAACGUCAAAGGAUAUCAGUUUAAUCCUGGGGAUCCCGAACGAAGGUCCCGUUCCAGUUGAAGACACCGAUACAACCGAGGUUGGGGGAACUGGACCAAGUCGUAGGACAUACAAAUGGAAUAAGCUCCCAAAUGAGUUGGUAGCCAUGAAUGCAGGGGAAGAAUUCUUAAGACUAUUCAUGGCAUUUUCUUGUGGAUGUCUACUGGCUCCAACCACUAGAGCCGAGCACAAAAUAAAGGUUUGGAACUGUACGCAAUUGGUUGAUAGGGUAGCCAGAUUGAACUGGGCUGAGUAUGUGAGGAUCGUACUAUGCAAUAAGGUGUUAGAGGUGCAAAAGAAAAGUGAAAAGCAGCACCAAUACGUUGGCGGUUGUAUCUUCGUUCUGCUGGUAAGAUUAGAUAGUUGUAGUCAUGACGAAAAUAUGCUCUAAUUGUUACACAGUGCACCAGAGAGUCAAUUAGUUUUGCGUGCCUUCAUAACUACUGCCUAUAUUUCCACAUUUUAUCAAAUUCAGUGCGAUGGAUUGAUUAGAUUAUGCUCAAAUGAAUGCGUCUACGAUGAUGUUUUAACAGUGUGGUCAAGUUUAUCUACAGUUGAAUUAAUUACUGUAUUGUAUUGUAUUGCAGAUUCAUUAUCUUGAUCGAGUACAAAUACUGAAGCAUAAAGUGUCGAGGACUACUCCGCGAGCUAAGGCAUGGACAGAUGCUCUGAUCUCUGAAAGGGAUACACUUGAGAUUAAAAAUCUUGGAGCUUAUGGAAAAGGAAAACUGGUAAAAUGUUAUAUAUUAUUGAUCUCAUUUCAUAUAAAAGGUAGUGGUCUAUGUAUUGCGUGGCUUUUCUAUUGAAAUGGUUGGUUUAAUUUGUUGUUAAAGAUUCGACAAUAUGAUCCGGAAGAUAAUGAAUAUGAUGGGCAAAGUACUGAACUACCCCCUGAUUUGGUAGAAAUGCUGAUGAACAGCGGGCACGCCGAUAUCGGUGUAAGUGGGUCUAUUCCAUGAUUUAAUGAAAUUUGUUGUUUGAUUAGACGUAAUUACUACAUAUUGUAAGCAACGUUAUUGGUUAUUGAUAGGCCUACCAACUUCAUUCAUGUUGUAGUAUCAUGUUAAUAUGUGAUACCAAUCCCAAUAUUACAUCCCUGUCUAGAGAGUUAUUAAAAAUUAAGUCACAUGAAUGGAAAUACAGAAAUAUAGUGGUCUCUUGGCCAAUCAUGCUAUAAAUGUAUGAAGUUUCAAUGAUCUCGGGUGACCAUUUUAUUUUUUAGUAUAUAAGUUACAGUUAUAGAACCUAUGGCCGCAAUUCAAAUGUUAAAUUAAGAAUCUUUGCGUAAAUGUACUAUUGUAUAUGCCUGUAUUGUAUGAAAUUGUUGAGAGCAUGUGGCUCAUUUAUGGAUUAAUAAUUUCAUCAUCUAACUGCAGGCUGAGCUAAAUGAGCUGUAUAACAUUGCUGUUAGUAGCCAACGAAGGAUAUUGAAGAUUGCAGAAAUCCUCUCCUCUCAGCCGAGAGCAAAAGCUUCCACUUCUGGAACUGAAGCAUUGGACAAAGGAAAAAAACCUGUACAGGAGGACUAUACAAUGCACAAGAGUCCUGAUACCGAAGAAGAGGCUGAAUUUCAAUCUGCCGAAGAAGGGGCAGACGACGAGGAUGAUGAUGCUGAAGAAAUUGAUGCGGAAGGGUCUGAUGAAGACGAGCAUAAUGCAGCGCAGGCCUAGAAAGACGAUGCCAAUACGAGGACAAAUAUUGAAGGUAUCCAAGAUCCAGAGCUGAAUGAAGAUGUAAUGGACGUGGAGAAUCCAAUUCCUACCUCAUCAGUCGUACCCGAUAACAUCAGUCGCGGAUUAGAACAAGGGACCACCAUGACAACAACUGCGUAAGGAAGCAUUAUACAGCUUCAAGAGCAAAAGUAGGAGCAAUACAGGUCAAACGUCAUAGAACCUGCCGAAAAGGGUCAAUGUACGGUGCAACCACCUUUGCACGCCAGUGCAUCGACGUCACAUCUGCUUGAGCAAGAAAUGCCACGAAAGUUGCGAUCAUAUGGUCAAAAGCGGAACGGUUGGUAUACUGUUAUUAUUCAUAAGGUUGUAAUUCAUGUAGUAUGACUGUAACAUCUAUUAUCAUAUACGGUAACUGUGUUUAUACCAUCAUGAUGCAACGUACACGGGUCUGAACUCUGGUUUGUCAUCAUCGAAAACUUGUUAAGCAUACUGUCAUACCCUCUCCGAUAUAAAACACAUAUGAAGUUGAUGUAACAAAUGUAAUUAGGCAUAUUAUGAAAGUAUGACUUUAUUCAUGUUAAGAAGUUAGUGUGUUUCGAAAAAUGUUAGUUACAUUGCAGUGGAAAAAUGUUACAAAAUAGUUAUUGAAAAGUUACAGUGUGUUUAAAAAUUGUUACCAAAAAAUGUGGAAACUUAUAGAUUAAAAAUUAGUAUGUUUGAAGAAUGUUUACAGUGUGCUUGAAGUUUGUCACGAAAUAGUAACCUGAAAGUUACAGUUUGCUCUAUUGAAUACACAACUCCAUAUUCGCGGAUCGAUAGUCACGGAAUUUAUUUUACAUUAUUGUACAAUAGUUACCGGAAAGCUAUUUCAUAAUUAAUGCAGGUGAUGUAAUUGAAGAAUUUUAGUUACGAAGUGUUUGUAACUUGUUACAUGAGUGAUUAUUUAGACGAAAGUUGAAUGUUAUUGGAGACUGUUAGUCAUUAUAAUUAAUAGAUAAGUUACAGUUUCCAAAAUUCAAACAUAACUCCAUAUUAAAUGAUUGCUGUUUAAAUGUGUGUUUGUAGGUUGAUACUCACUUAUUUAUUGGUCAAAGUGCAUUUGAAAACUCUUAGAAACAGUUAGUUUAGCAUACUGUUAUGGUGUGAUUGAAGUCUGUUACAAAUUAGUUAUUGAGAAGUUAGUGUGUUUCAAAAUUUAUCACAACUGUUUGAAAAGUGUUAGUUACAGUGUGUUUGAAGAGUUGUACAAAUAGUUCUUAGGACAGUUACAUUGCAUUUGAAAAAUAAUCGAUUGGUGUUUGAUGACUGCUAAUUGCAUUGUGUCUGAAGAAUGAAGCAAAAUAUCUUAUAAUUUGUUAGACGACAACAAAUGAAUGUCAUAUGAAAUGCAUGUUAUUUGUCUUUUGUAGGAGGCCUUGACGUUGAGGUGAAGCACAAGUCUACACGUGCAACAAAGAAGAGCACUGUUCUGCGGUCAGCAGAGUUCAUUCUACCAGCACCUGUGACAGUUAGCCUAUACGAAAAAAAUGUGGCUGCAUAUGCAUGGGAUCCGGACCAAAAUCCCAAGUAAGAUUCUUGACAAAACUAUUAAUUCGAUCUUGUGAUCCAUUCACUACAAUAAGUACACGUGUGGUUCAUAAGAAGAUGGCAUAGAAAAACAGAUUGAAUAUGGAUGAGAUUGGAGUUCAUAUACAUUAGUCAAAUUUUCGUGUUUUGGAGUAGGAGUAAUAAUUAUUAGUAAAUCGUUUAAUUGUGUCCUGGAUGUGAUAGGGACAUACUUGUUCAAAUGUAUCAAUUUUCGCUGACUCGGCUUGACUUGAAGACAAAGGAAAAUGGCAUGCAUGUGUCUAAUCAGGUCAGUAGUUCAUUACUUUUAGUCAAAAAGUUUGAUUAUGUAUCUAUUGAUUGGAAUAGUCAUACGUAAACUCACCCAAGCAACACUCAAUUAUAUGUUUUGAUCACCAUUUGCCAUUGAUUAUGUGAUUGAUAUGUUUGCCCGUCUCAUGAAUUGGGGUGGAAGAACUGCCAAAAUUAGGAAGUUUGAACGCUACAUCGUAGAACCUGUUGCAGUUGUGAGUUUGAAAUUUGGAUUGCAUCCUACAGUUGUGUUAAAGAUGCUCAUCAUCAUAUCUGAAUUGGUAUUACGAUCCAACGCACCAUUAUUAAUGUCUUCUAUGCACCUUUCACUCGGCUAUGUUAUUGGUUGCAGGAAGGAAUUUUGAAAAUGGGAAAAUUCGACAAGCUCUCUGAUGCCAGCUUAUCUGCUAAGCUUCUAAAGCUCUUCAAGGUUCGCAAUAACAAUACGGGGGUUGAUCCUGCAAAUUGUGAUUGGGUAUGCAAUUAUCAGUUUUAAUCCAAAACUUCUUAUGUGACUGUUAAACAUUCAAAACGUAGUCAUACUUGGUUAUGUAGAAUGACCUGUCUGACCUUUUUCAUACCUCAUUUGGCACAGAUACUUGUGCCAGUAUGCAUAGAGAGGUCUUGGUUUGUCUACAGCUUUGGUGUCUCAGAGAAAGAAGUGCACGUGCUAGACCCUGAUAGCAGUCAAGCAAAGAGCAAAGACAUUAGCGUACUGAAUCGACUGGUAUGUUGGACAAAUUGCUAAAUGCAUUACACGACAUGACAGUGACACAUUAGUGGAUUGUAAUCAGUUUUACAUAAUCUUUAGUGAUAUAGAAACGUUCACUGGGUUUGGUCGUGGCGGCAAAGUUUGGCAAGGAAAUUGACUUCUCCAGUUUCGGAUUUUCUGUUGCCGAUGUCCCUCAUCACUCACCCAACAAAGUGUAAAUAGUUUGACUUCUCCCGUCAUUAUUGUUAGAGCGUGUACUAAGUUUUUUGUCCAACAUAUAUACCAUAACUGACUAAUGAGAAGACAACGUGACCAGGUGUGACAGUGGUGUUUUCGUUAUGACAUUCCUAGAGCAUUGGAGCGGAAGGUUGGCUGUUCGGCUUACAGAGGUAUUACAAUUGAUAUCCCUUUUCUCCCUACAAUCCAUCUGAAAUUGAUUUAAUGCUUGUUACCUCAGCACUCAACUAUGCUAAUUCCUACCUCUUGUGCUGAUAGGAAAAUGUUGGCAAGUAUCGAGUGCUGUACACAGCUCGAUUGUGUAACUCAGCGGAGAACUCAAAGUUUCCGGACAGCUUCACAAACCUGCAAGUACCUAAACGGGCGCAGUUGAAUGUUGGUAAUGCCUGAUUUAUAAGUAUUCAUGACUGGGAGAGAAGGAAAUUCACAAAAUUGCAUUUGACGUGCUUUUGUAUAUUAUUACAUGUGUAUUACAGCUUUUGGAUUGCUGUAACUAAUUUUAUUAUGGAGUCUACUCAGAAGGACCUUUCUUUUGAGACAGUAGUUUUGUUUUUCUGGAGACAUUAGCAUCAAUACUGAUUAGCAAUUUGUAUCAUGGUGCUGUUUAUUUAUCUUUUGUGGCCAUAAAUUCUGAAUUUAAUUCAGAUUUUCUAUUUACACUAGAAUAAUGUCAGUAAUAACAUUAACGGAGCAUUAAUUGGUUCAAUUGUGUCGUGAAUCUAUGGUUCAAAGAUGCUCGUCGUGACUCUGUGCCAACUAUACUAGAACCUACAUUGAACAAUGUGUAACUAUAGAACAAGCGCUCAAUUAGUUUGUUGCAAAAUUAGUUAUUGAAAAGUUACAGUUGAAAAUUAAUACAAAACUUCAUAUAUAACUGCUGGUAGUUACAAAGUGUUUGUAGGUUGUUAGUCAAGAAUUAUUGGGAAGUUACAGUGUUUUGUAUGACUGUAACAAAAUAGUUAUUUGGGAAGUUACAGUUUGAAAAUUAAUACAAAACUUCAUAUUUGAAAACUGUUAGUUACGAUGUGUUUGUCCGUUGUUACAAAAUAGUUUUGGGAAAGUUAUAGUGUGUUCGUUGAAUGUUACAGAAUAGUUAGUUGGGAAGUUGCAGAUUGAAAAUUAAUAUAAAACUCUAUAUUUGAAAACUGUUAAUUACAAAGUGUUUGUAGGUUGUUACAAAAUAGUUUUUUAAAAGUUACAGUGUGCUCGCUAACUAUUACAAAAUAGUUAGUUGGAAAGUUGCAGUUUGAAAAUUAAUACAAAAGUCCAUAUUUGAAGUCUGUUGGUUACGAAGUGUUUGUAAAUUGUUACAAAAUAGUUAUUGGGAAAUUACAGUAUGUUCGAAAACCGUUACAAAAUAGUUACUCGCAAGGGGAUAGUUUGAAAAUUUUUACAAAACUCCAUAUUUGAAAAUUGUUAGUUACGAAGUAUUUGUAGGUUGUUACAAAAUAGUUAUUGGGAAGUUGAAUGUUAUUAAAGACUAUUACAAAAUGCUUCAAUGGGAAGUUAGAGUGUGAAAAUUAAUACAAAACUCCAUGUUUGAUGAUUGCAUGCUACAGUGUGCUUAUAGGUUGUUACAAAAUAGUUAUUGUGACAAAUGACGAAUGGCAUGAAAAUAAAAUAGUUUAUUUGAAGAUACUCGAAAAUGGCAUGCAUGUGUCGAAUCGGGUUAGUAGUUUAUUACAUUUAUUCAAAAAGUUUGAUUAUCAAUUUAUUUAUUGGAUUAGUGAUACGUAAACCCAAUUGUAAUAGUGAAUUACAUGUUUUGGGUUUUGUGUAUGUUUUCAAAAAACAUGUUACUUAUUCUAUACUUACUAAUUCUCCAGAAUUUAGUUACUAGCUUAUAUCGUUUCUUGCCACAUAUUAACUCCCACCUAUGUGUUGGUCCGUGUUAGCUCAUGAUCGACACACAACCAUUAAUUCAACAGAAGGUUAAAACACUAAAGCUUAUGUGACCCAAAAGGAGUUUUAGAUCGUUCAAAUGUCUUCAUCGAGCAAUUUUGGUGGCGGAUCUACUGAGUUAAGGUACCAAUAUCGGUACUGCCACUGCGGAAAAAGGGCUGGGCUGAAGAUCGUGGAGUCACAGAAACCAACGAAGGGGUUGCUGUACUUCUAUUGUGAAGGAAAAACUUGUGCUUUUUUCGCUUGGUGUCUUCCAAUAGGGAGGAAUCAUGAGCAAGUUCAGGCUAACUACUGCCCUCCCUCACCGAAUCGACAAGCAAUAAGUAGAGACAGCUCCUUCGACAGUCCCGGAACAGUGCAAAAUGAACCAAACUCUUUCCCGUAUCAUGUGCAUCGAAUCGAACAACAUAUUCGACAAAUGAAAACCUUCAUGAUGAUAUCGGUAGCGGUCGCCUUUCUGUUGCUCCUAAUAGCAAUUUUUCGCUGACAGCACUUUCAAUUUUUCGCUCUAGUUGGAUAUAAACUUCGCCUGUAGUUUGUCGGAGAUGUAUCCUUCAUAGGCAAAGUUACACUGACAUUCUUGUACUGUUGACUUUCCAUUUUGGCAGGUGAUCUAGAAGAUAGAGUAAACAAUAGAUGCAGUCGUAUAGUUGUAUGAAACUGGUGAAGUCACACUAUUAGUUUUUUGUGGAGUUAUAUGAUUGCUCUUUUAUCUGAAAUCACCUGUGUUGUUCAAUUGUUUUGUGUUAAUGACUCCAACUAAUUGAAACUAUUAAUUGUAUAAUGAUGCACAAAUGGUUACCUUAAUUGUAAAUUGUUAUAAUUCGUACGUUCUUACUUACAGCUUUGUUCGUCCUAAGUUACAACAUUCAGUGAAUUAGUUGUAAAAUUGAAAAUCUUUAAUAAAGCAUCAGCAGCAGAAGGAGGUGCUUAUUCAGGUACUAUCACAUUGUGGGUCAUUGAAUGACCAAGGCCAUUCAGUUUUACACAUCUGACUCUGGGCCAAAAAACUGACAUUCAUUGUGAGAUUUUGUCCACAAUAUUUUGCGUAUUACUGUGUAUGCACAGUGUCAAAAUUAAGGUCACUAAUGUGUAACUCAGUAUUCACAUCGGUACCCUUAAUGUUGCAAUACAGGUCUUACCAUGAUAAAAAUUGCCCAAUUGGUAUUUUAUUUUCUGAUGCUGAUUAGUGACACGACGUAACACUUAUUAUUUUAUGUAUCGAUACUAAAAAUAUAGUUCAACAAAUUUUGUCCAUACGAUUGACAAACUGUUCAUAUAUUGUUACAAUUCGUAAGUUAUUAUUUACCUCUUUGUUCGUUCUGAGUUACAACAUACAUAAAAUUUCUGGUCGAAUUUGAAAUCUCCUAUAGAGCAUUGGAGCAGAAGGAGGUACGAACCGCUCAUAGAGGUAGUAAAUUUGGGUCAUACACUGACCAAGGUCAUAGAGUGUUACACAUCUGACUCUUGGCCAAGAAACUGUUGCAUAAUUUGGGCUGUCAUACCUCCCUGUGACAGUGUAACUGUGCAUGCACACAGUGAAAUGUACAUGAAUCUAAGGUGUAACUCUGUAUCCACGUGACUCUUAAAAGUUGGUGGACAGGACCAAAACAUGAUAAAAGCUGCAAACAUGUGUUGAAGUCUGUAAACGAUUGGCAACAGCACGUAACACGUAUAUUCACUGUCGGUACAACAAAUCUGGCCUGGAAACGUAACAAAACUUAUCCGACAUGGUUCAGGCACUGCAUGCGGGUCUACAGUCUCUUCUCCCGUGAUGUACUAGUUGCCCUCAUAUGCGUUCGUGAAGAUCUCACUAUUUUAAUGAGAUGUUCGAGAAAGUCUCGCUACGCAAUGUUUUGGGGUUCGAAACAAUCAUCGUAACUAUUCUCAAUACAUACUUAAUAAAGUGUCUAAGAAAUUUAAUGUGUCAGUGGGAGGAAUUAUCGUUUCUGCCAAGGGCAAUACCACAAACAAAAGAAGACGAAAGGUUCAUCGAACAUUAACUAGUUGUAUUAUCAUUAGUUGUAAUAUCGGGGAAUAUCUAGUUGGAAUAUUAUUCAAUUUUAAAUAGAGCAGACGAAAAGCUGCUGAUUGCAAAUUCAUUAGUUAUAAUAAAUUGUAACAUACACCUAACCGGUUGUAACGCAAUCCGUACAUAGUGAAACGUACACGUCACUGAUGUGUAACUGUUUAUCCACAUGACCCUUGAUAUUGGUGUAUAGGUCAUUUCAUGAGCCAGGUGCAUAAUUUGUUUUAAUGUGUGAACAGAUUUGACUCAAUUCAAUGGCAUGCAUCGAACUCUACAGCUUCCACUGCCACGACAAAAUUGUUUGGUCUGGAAUGCGUUGUCCAGUGAUAUUUUACUACAUUGUGAGGGUCCUGCGGACUAUAAAAGGGCGCGGUUGCAGUAGUAUAUCCCUCAACAACAAAGAUUUUUCCGUCCACCUUUCACUACUACACAAACAUUUUUCAUUUUCAAUAACUUCACACUUCCUAUUUCAUUCUACUGAAGGGUGGCAAUGAACCCGUGCAUGAAAUUUAUUAUUAGUAUUUUUCAACCCUCCUCUAACCUCAAUUGCAGUGUCAUCAAUAGAGGGUUCACACAGAAAUCAAGCUCUUGGGUGCCAAAUAGCAGCCAGUAGGUUGCAUGAUGUUCAAGAAGAUCUCGCUAAUUUAAUGAGAUGUUCGAGAAGGCCUCACUACAUCAAUUGUUUUGGGGUUCGAAUCGACCAUCUCUAUGUUCUCAAUAGACACUUACUAAAGUGUCUAAGAGAUUAUAUGUGUUAGAGGGCCGGACUUAUUGUUUGUGCCAAGGGCAAUUGCGCACACGAGAGAAGAGGAAAGGUUCAUCGGAUAUUAACUAGUUGUAGUAUCACUAGUUGUAAUAUCAGGGAAUUUCUAGUUGUAAUAUCAGUAGUUUUAACUAGAUAAGACGAAAAACUGCCGUUUCCAUAUUCAUUAGUUGUAAUGAAUUGUAACAUAUACAUAACUGGUUGUAACUCAACAUGUACAUGGAGUAAUCAAAAUUUGUUGCAUUUUAAAUAUUAGUUACCCUACUUUCAAAUUACUUGUCCCAACGAAGUAUCAUGUUCGUCUGCGAAACUGUUACUUAUUAUGUGGUCAUGUGGAACCAAGCCAAGCCGCCAAUUGUAAGUUCGUUUCUGUACUGAAGGAGUAAUACCUAUUGAAGUGCCUGUAAUACUAUCUGUAAUGCUUAUCGUUAAUACAAUUGUAAACAAAUUGUCUAAAUUUUAACAUAUAGGCAAAUGACAAGGUGCCUGUACAAGAACAUCAAUAAGCGGUAACAGCUUAUUAACGUCCUGUAAUUUAUGUAAAUACUGGUGGUAACUGCUUGUUACACUUGAAAAGUAAGGUGACUGACGAAUAAUUGGGUAUUCACCUGACCCAAUUGUUGUUGGAGUACAGGUCAUGAUCGAAUCAAAUUAAACAAUUAUUUCAUCCACACACUAUACAUUUGACUAAAUGUUGAGUCUAUUGUCUCGUUAAUAGGUGGUUGCCAUGCCUUCAUGUACUCACCCAGGAGUACUAUCCCGUGGAGAACAACAUGAAAUGACAUAGGAAGCAGUUGGUCAAGUUGUCAGAAGAAACCAUUUACUAUGCAUGGUCUUAAAUAGGUGCUCUGUUAAAAAUUUCUACCUUUUUUUUUCUCCCACCUAAUUCUUUAUCAGUAGAUCCUUCCUUUCAUCCAACCAAAAAGCAGUAGGUAUUAGCAUAGUCAUGCAAUCCACAAAUGAAGGAUCUCAUACAAGCUCACCAUCAAAUGUUCGGCAAAAAAGACGGAAAGUAUCGUUAGAUCCAACAAAUGCCAUAAGCAAGUAUGAAACACCAGAUGGGAGGAUUUUAUAUGGUACCAAACGCGAGUUCAGGAACGCUCCACUUAACACCAACAACUCUUUGGGACUAGCUGGUCACAUUUUUAAAAAUACGGUCAAUGAUCAUCUACCGUCUGGCUAUUUCGUUAUGGACCAUGAACCCAUAUGGGAGCCUGUUCGUGAGCGAAGAAUGGAAUUAGAGGUAUUUUGUCGCUGGCAUGGCAUCCGCAUCCCGAGAACAAGGUCAGCGGAUCUUGUUAUAGGACCACAAGCCAAUGAUGCAAGCGUAUUACAUAGACUACAGCGAGAAGUUAUGCAGAUGGAGCGUAGGCUUCACAGGUUCCAUGAGAUCUAGGCCGCAAAAGGACAUGGUAUGGUUCAACACAUUUUAGCAGAUCCCAUGCUUAUAUCGGAUCCGGACCUAUCUGACUUUACUGAAUCAAGCGACGAUGACUUUCAAAGGUACAUACCCCACUGUUUAAUGCAUGACGGCGUUCCCAGGUGUUGUAUGGGAUACAACUGAUAACAAGGGAUGUAGUCCAAUGUUCAUCAGGGUAGCGAUAAAACUAUACUCAUUAUAAUCUCUACUCCCACAAAUUGUUUACCAUAUUUGGAUAUUAGUGAUGCCUGUUAAACAGUCGUAACUAGUUGUAAUGCAACAGUAACAUAUCCCUUACUGGUUGUAACCCAUUGUGUACUGUUCGUUCUUCCUUUUUGUGACAUUGUAAAACUUCGUUUUAACGUUACAAAUUAAUUCUCCAAGGAAUCAUUUUCUUAUGCGCACCUAUUACCAACAUGUGGUCGUGACCUGGCUUGACCAUAAUUCAAUUAACCUAAAAACUUGUACCUAAUCCUUGUAAUACCAAUUGAUGUGCCUGUGAUACAUCAUGUCAAUGGGGCGCUAAAUUCGUCAAUCGAUACAAAACAAAUGGCCUAAAUGAUAAUAUUUUAAUAAAAAUAGCCCAAUAAUAAUUCGAAUUUAGCAUCGUAACAAAAUCAAGACAAUUUAUACUUUAAACUGUGUUAUCUUAUACAUCGUACCUUUGGCGGUGCGAUCUAUGCCAAUAAAUAUGUUAUUAAGGUAUGCAAUUGAAUGUAGUAGAAUGGUAUACAUAUCACGACAGCCAUUCAACUGUUAUGGUCGAUUUAGUGAAAAAUAUCCGAUCACAAAAAACGCGUUCAAUUCUAUUGUAAAAUUGUUACUUCAAUUUUCUACCAACUUUAUAAUUUCCUAACAAUUUUAUAUAACCCAAUACAAACUAUUGAUGAUUAGUACCACUAGAUGUGAUUACAAUUGUAAUCCACUUGUCUAAAUUUGAAAAGAGUGAAAUAUCAAUGGUGCCUGUACAACCUCGUCAAUAAGUUGUAACACCCUAUUCACUGCUUGUAACACGUACAUAUGCAGUAUUCCUAAGUUGGGACAACCACUUAAUGUUUCGUUCAAAAAAUAUAGUUACACAUCAUUCAUCAAUCUCAUUAUCGGGGGAGGCGACGUCAACGCGAAGUUGCAAUCCCCGGGUGUUAUUUCUUCCCUGAAAUGCGUAACGAUGAUGAAUCAGCAAUAUUAUUAAUGAAACAUACGAUUAAUGAUAUACGAUGUCCAAGCCUCCAAUUAACAACAGUACAUAAAUAUGUGCUACAACGAUAAAAGUUUAUCACUUGGGGUGAAGGUGCAAAUACAUGAUAUGCAUCAACAUCACAGUGUGUUAAAAGUGCUGCACGCUCCUCCUAUAUUACAUAGUAUAAGUAAUCGACUGUCAACAAAUCAUUACCAAUGCCUAUAUUGCUCACUUAUAAAGUUAAAUUGGACUAGACAUUAUAAUGAAAAUGAUAUAUCAGACCAUUAAGACAUCUCUGACAGAGUUAUACUUGGAAAAAAUAGAAAAUCUGGGAUGCAUCCAUUCUGUAGGGACACUUGUAGGAGGCUCCUGAUUAGCCAAACGGUGAACCUUCGAAUAAUAAAAAAUAAUAUGUUAUUAAAGCGAGCAUACGUUAACUACAUAAUUUGCAUGAUUUGACAGCUUUCGGAUGCCCACCAUUACAAUACUAUAAAAAAGGGUUAAUAUCAGAAACCUCCCUUGAGGUUUCUUCUAAUCACACCUAGAACCCCUCAUGUUUUCGAAAUCACACAUAGCACCCCUGGAAUGACAACUUUGGUAUCAUUGUCCGCCCCUCAUUAUUUUUGUUCCACUUUUACCCUCCUUGUGAACUCUAUUUAUGUAGAGUUAAUUUCGAAAACCUCCCUUGAGGUUUUCCCUAAAUUAUGUAAAACUAUUAUGUAAUUAUGUAAUAUUUUUUGUACAAAGUGUAAUUCUAAUUGAACUAUUUGUAAAAUUUAUCAACACAAAUACGAUUAUUACAUAUUGGACUCAUAUGUACAAUAACAACUUAUCAGACUUCUAUUGUAAUGAUGUACAAGAAAUUUACAUAAAAUUAUAAAAUGUUCAAAAAAUGUUACACGAUUUAGGGAUGGUUGAUCUAACAAUUGUUCAUAUCCCACUCCCUAAUAUUAAAUAGCUAUAGAGUUUCCAGUGAUGUUGACUUUUGGCAAUGGACAUAGUGCCAUUGCCAAAAUUGCAAUUUCUAAGUGAAUAAUAACAUAAUCUAAAAGUAGUUUAAAGAUGAUGGGAAUUCACGAGUAUAUAGCAUUAGCAAUCCAUUUUUACUUGAUAAUAGGGUAUCGCAAUAUUAAUAACUUACAAACUCCAUUCGACUAGGAUGCACAAAAAACUAUUUAUACGACCUCAUUUUCAUAAAAAUGGAAGAGCAAGUUGAUUUACAACUACAAUCACAUAUUGAAACUAUUGCUGCCAUUAUGACAAUCCAUAGUCACAUUUUUUUUUAUCACCGUUCAGAUCAAUGUAACAUUUUUUAAACAAUGUGUAACUUUAUGUGAAUUAUUUGUAAAACUUAAUUACAGAAAUGCAAUCUAUUAUAAAGAUGUACAAGAAGCUUACAUAAAAUUACAAAAUGUUCAAAACAUGUUACACUGCUUAAGAACGAUUUUGUAGUGUUACCUUUGAGUGGAGGGAUGUGAGUUACAUAAAUAGAGUUCACAAGGAGGGUAAAAGUGGAACAAAAAUAAUGAGGGGCGGACAAUGAUACCAAAGUUGUCAUUCCAGGGGUGCUAAGUGUGAUUUCGAAAACAUGAGGGGUUCUAGGUGUGAUUAGAAGAAACCUCAAGGGAGGUUUCUGAUAUUAACCCUAAAAAAAAGGUAGCUCUACUACACGAAUAAGAAGGUCUUUAUUUUAACUACUGAAUAUAUACAUACCGUUUCACUUUCAUCGAUAUUCGGAGCAAUAGCGUUUGGAGGGCCAUUCACUGUCUGGCUCAUUGAAUGCGUCUACGAGUUUCGUAUGGACCAAAUCAUUGUAUAAGACAAACAAAUAGGUAUAUCAGGAGAGAUGACAGCCGUAACAACAUUAUCACACAAUGUAAGAUCAAUGUAACUAUUUAUGCUGUUAGAAACAUCCAAAUAAAAGUAACAGUCAUGUCCGUUUUAUACUAACCGAAACAGAGUCAGUAGAUGAACGGCAUCCCAUAAACAUGUAUUCCUCAUAUGAAACCGAUGUCGGCUCCGAUUCUAAGGCCUACAGUAUUGACACAGCAAUAAUAUUAUUUCAUAAUGAAUGAUACCUAAACUUUAGUUAAUAGCAUAACGAUAACUUAGUUUUAGCAUAAAUGUUCCCCGAGUACCAAAAUUUGAUCCAUACCGUAGUCUGUGUAGUCCUUGAUAAUCCAGAUUUUCUUUUUACUCUGUCAAAUUUAUCGAUCCAACUUCGCAUCACUCUACCUUUCUUCCCACCACCUCGUUUUUUAAUGCCUCUUGCGACUACUGCCUCCCCCAUUUCAUUCACAAUUUCAAUUUUAUCCCGUUCCUCCAUAUUUAGAUUUUUUUUGAUUUUGCAAAGGUUGUUCUUCACUUUCUGAGAGGAGGAGCUCAACUCUCUUUGCCAAAUCGGAUAUGAUAGUGAUUGCUACUUUGCUGGUGUCCUCCGACAUUGCUGCUCGAGUUGCGACCUUAAUCAUGGAUGGAGCGAGCUCCCGAUAACGAGUUGAAAUCAUUAUUUUAGGAUCAGCCACAACUUCCCGUCUUCGCCGAUCAAAACAGUCUCCAGCCCGAGCUCUUUUUGUCCAUCGCCUCUUAAUGUAUUCAGGAGGAAUUAUUUUUAUGCCCACAGUAUCAAACACCUUCAACGCGUGCCCACAUAAAAUGCCUUCAUUCUCGUAUUUUUUGCAACUACAACGUACACUUAGAUCAUUCCGAUUGAAUACCACUAUUCUUUCAGGUCCUCCAUUAUACCUCAUGACCGCAAACUCCACAAUCAUCGCUGCAUCUUGCUGUCUCAAUAUAACCAUAGCUGUUGACUCGCCAUAUUCAUUUUGGAAUGCAACAAAUACUGUUGGUGAAUACGUCUCUGAUGCAUGCACAAGCAUAGGUGUUUGCCUUAACCCGACCAUGGGGAGCUUUUGCCUCAUUUCAUAUUCUGCGAUCAGUUCAUUAUGUUUCUUUUCAUCAACCACCCGAUUGAAAUGUCUAAAGAACUGCACAAGGUCAUGAUCCAGUUUCAAAUGAUUUUUAAUUGCUGCAUUUAGGCUUUCGCUAAGUUGGGUGCUUCACAUUCCCGCGGUCCAUCUUUCUUUCAUCAUGCACCUUGCCCAUUUAUCAUGAAUUCUAUACAACCCGGAGAGCCAUUCAUUAUUUUCAAGAUUGUGUUUCUUCACCAUCGCCUCCCACACCCUAUUGAAUUGUUCCACUUCUUCAAACUCAUACAUGCAUGCACCAAACAUGUAUGGAAGAUCACUAUUUUCCUUGUAGUGAUUGCCAAAAUGUUUCAUAAAAUUACGCCUUAUGUGAAACGUACAUAGACCGUGAAAUGUUUCAGGCAUAACAACUGAAAGAGCGGCUGCCAUGACAUGAUCUUGGUCGGUUAGUAUGGUACUUGGACGCUUUCCGCACAUUGCUUCUAGAAAUGUACCAAACACCCAUUUGAAAGAAUCUAUAGUCUCAUCAUACAUAAGGGCAGCACCGAAUAUCACAAUUUGCCUAUGUUGGUUAAAACCCACAAACACUCCAAGUGGCCGGUAUUCUUUAUUUGUUUUGUAGGUUGUGUCGAAUGUGACUACGUCUCCAAAAAAUUUGUAGUCAAUUAACAUUCCUGCAUCAACCCAAAAGAUAUUCGUUAUCUGCUCUUCACAGUCCAGCUGUACGGCAUGAAAAAAUGAUGGAUUCUCGAGUGUUUGCUCUUGAAAAUAAUUCAGCAUGCUACCUGCUUCUCCAUAUUUCAAACUCCUUUCCCGUCGAGUACGAAGAUAUCGUUUCAGGUCUUCCCGAGUAUAUCCCACAUUUCCCAUCCCACCUGCCUCCUUUCCCAUAAGCUCAUGACUCUGUUUCAAUGAAAGCCCAGCGUCCUCGCUUAUUUCAGCUUGGAAUCCUUGAGUCUCGCUCACUUUUCUUUGUGAUGGCAUCAUGUGCGCACAUUGAGCAAUGUGCAACUCAUGGUUAUGCUCUAAGACAAGGUCAUGCACAUGGUACUUCAUUGUUCCUCUAAACAACACGAUAACCAUUUUAGCUCCACACCCUAUUUUCGUCGGCGCUCGUGUCCUCUUUGGCAUCACAUCACCUUCGUACUUGCGCUUUACACCUUCCUUGCAGCAACUAUAUCUCCUAGACAUGAUCAUGCCGUCUUUGUCUUUAUUCAGAUAGUCUUUACGUACACUAAAACCCAUUUUAAAGGCAUAUUUGUUGUAAAACUGGUACGCAUCCUCUUCGCUGUUGAACUCCAUUCCUAACUCAGGGGUCCCAUCUUCUGCCAAUUUGCUGCAAUCCAUUACUUCUGAUCCUGCCAAUUAUGCAUCAAACACCCUAAUUUGCAACACUUCAUGAAUAGUAUGUACAUAAACGACAACAUAUAUGUAUAUUACCAUUCAUAAUGUGUUAUGAAUCAUACAUUACCAAAUUCUAUUAUUACGCUAUCAAUAUGAUUAAUGAUUCACAUCACCUUACUUUUACUCUAAGACAAUCUGUGUACAAAUACAACUCCAUGUACACUAACUUAUACGGAUUGUAAUGUAUUGGUCACACGAUGUAAGUCUAUUUUAACUGUAUAUACAUCCACGCUGGUCAUUAUAUUUUGAUUCUAGAUUCUUUAGCUCAUUGGACCUUAUGUCAUUCAUUAAUGACAACCGCAUAAAAUAGACUAAAUAGUCUUUGUGUUUAUUUAAAUAGUCUUUGCGUACACUAAAUCCCAUUUUAAAGGCAUAUUUGUUGUAAAACUUGUACGCAUCCUCUUCCAUGUUGAACUCCAUUCCUAACUCAUGAGUCCCAUCUUCUGCCAAUUUCUCUACAAUUCAUUACUUCUGCUCCUACCAAUUAUGCAUCCAACACCAUAAUUUACAAUAGUUCAUGAAUAGUAUGUAUGUAAACGACAACAUAAGUGUAUUACCGUUUAUAAUAUGUUAUGUUACACACAUUACUCGUAUACCAAAUUCUAUUAUUACUCCCAUCGAUAUGAUUAAUGAUUCACAUCACUUUACUUUUACUCUAAUACAAUGGCAUUAUCUAUGUACAAAUAUAACUCCAUGUACACUAACUUAUACGGAUUGUAAUGUGUUUUUCACUCCAUGUAAGUCUAUUUUAACUAUAUGUACAUCCACUCUGGUGAUUAUAUUUAAGUUCUAGGUACUUUGUUUCAUUGGACGUUAUGUAAUUCGUUACUGACAAUCGCCUAAGCCAAUUCCUGUGCAUUUUCUACUAUUUCUACAUUUUCAGGGCCAAACAAGCAUUUUUUACUCAUUCUAAUACAUUUCUUACAUCAUGUAAUUUACUUACAAAACCAGGUACAUCUAUUUAUUAUUCACAUAUAUCUUUUCCUCUGCUUUUCCUAGGUCAAACCCCAGACCUCCAUUUUAUACACACUGCAUACUCAACAGAGGGGCAAACUAAGAUUGCGUGAUGACCAUGGACCAACUAGUGGAUGCACAAAGAUUGUAAUAGGGUGGUUAUAACCUGUAACUUAUCUACAGCAGCAUGUACAUUCAUUCACUUGUUAAAUAGUUCAUCACUGCAAAACUGCACGCUCACACACACACAUACAGUACACAUUGACUAUUCUUCUAUUAUCUUCAUAUUAUGUCUUUACUGAAUCUAACAUUCAGAAAAGUUGCUGGUAUAAGAUUCACAAAGUUGUUGAUAUGGUUGAAUCAUGUUACCUUGGCCCGUUGAGAGCUUUUUGUUUCACCGAAUGCCCUUAUGCACAGUUGCUUCUGCUAUUAAGUUGCACAAAAAAUGGUGGGCAACGUCAGAUAUUGAAUUUCCUCUUUAAUUCGCUUCUACCUUGCCGGCUGUCUUGCCCGCAUUGCUCAUACAAUUUCUGAAGACAUCGUUGGCCUUCUUUUACAGCAUUCUAACUGUUUGCCUUCUUCCUUCUUCUUCUGAUGCCAUAACCCAACUCUUUCCACCUAAUUUCACGUCAGCCAAGCAACAAUGACACACCCAGCUUGCUUUCUUCUCUCGGUUUUGGUUUGUGCGGCUAAUUGAAAUUUUGAAAAUGAAGUUCAAAAUUUCAAUUCUUCCGUUUAGAGGAAACGGAGUCCGUCAAUCUUAUUUUUUUCCUCUCGUCAAACGGUGACGUUUUUUUCCUUCAAAACAACCAGUUGACGUGGCUUAUUUUGCUCCAUUCCUUGAAGCUUGUGAGGGGACCGUUCAGGAGCGGUCCUCAGACCGCUCCUGCCCUGUAUCCUUCGGACAAGGGGCUGGGGCGGUUGCCAGACAACCGCUUAUAAACUUUUCAUGGCCAAGAUGUGGUGAGCCAUCAUCAACGGCCAAAACAAAGCCACGUCACAAAGUUAUAUGAGCUGAAGAAGACGGCGUCGUUUUAUUGAAUGGCAAAUAAAAAAAUAAAAAUUGUAGAAACGGAUGGAGCAUCAUCGUCAAACGGCGUCAAAUUUAUCCCGCCCAAAUAAUUAAUGAAGAGUUCCUUUUUUAUCAAAAAUCCCCAUUUCACUUUCCCCAUUUCCCAAACCCUUUUCCCGUUGUCUGCUAAUGCAAAAGAUCACUCCACAAAACAACUUCCAUUUCACUCCACAAAAUCACUCCCAUUUCACUCCCCGUUGUCUGCUAAUUUCCAAAACAACUAUCUGAAUUCGUCCUAAAGAAGACCCACGGUGUAUUUUGGAGGAGGAGAAACUGCAUAAUCCAAGGUAAGAUGGAAUCUUUUACACUGUCUGCUCCUAUGUUGCCCUUGUAAUAUACCGACAACAUUGAUACUCUUCAUUUUUUUGACAUUUUUUUUAGUUCACUCUCUGUAUUUUCAUUGUUACUAGAUUACGAACUAGUAAUUUCGUUGUUACUAGUCCGUAAUUCAUUGUUACUAGAUUACUAGAUUACGAACUAGUAAUUUCAUUGUUACUAGUCCGUAAUUCAUUGUUACUAGAUUACGAACUAGUAAUUUCAUUGUUACUAGUUCGUAAUCAGUAAUAAUUUCGUUGUUAACCAGAAAUUAAAGGUUCGUAAUGUCUUCUUCCUGAUUUUUUAUUUUUAUCUUGUAACAAACUAGUAAUUUCUCCUGUAAUGUCUCCAUUUUCACCAGGGUUUUUCUUUGCCCCUCUCAAUUAUGUUGAUUGAACUUUUCAAUUUUAAUGUCAAUUUUUUGCUGCCUAAGUUGCUGUGGUUUAAUUUCGAUUUUAAUUAAUUUAUGUAAUUGCAAAAUUAUUGAAAAUCUAGUAAUCAGUCCAAAGAACCCGCAAUUUUAGAAGAACGAAAGGAAAAGAUGAGAAAUUGUCAAAAAAAAAAUCUGAUCCUGUUUUGUUCAGUUUUGCAUUAUAUUCUGUUCAAGGUAAUUGUAAGUUUUUUUUUCUUUUGGCAAUCAUGAUAUGCUAAAAUAUUUGGUUUUUUUGCCUAUUGAUGGGCAAGCUGAAUUUAAGGUUUCCAGAAGCUCGAAAAAUUUCUUUUGCCUUUGCUAUUGUUGUCUUGUUCAUUAAAAUUUAAAUUUUUCGAGUAGUUGAUUCAAUCAACUUAAACUCUAUUUAAAACCAUCGUGGCUUGAGCCCAAAAUUAUAACUGAAGAUGCAGAAAGACAAUGAAAAUGAGAACUUAAGCUGCAUUGCUAUCAUUUUCAGGAUGGUGAUGCUGUGCUAAGGUUUUCAAAGCCAAAUAAGUAUUGGGUUGAAAGCUCGUAGAAAAGGGUAAGUUUUUGUGCUUAAAUUUCUCAGGCAUGAGCUUGCUGAGAAAGGCUGAUGUUGUGGACUUUAUCUAGGUAGAUGAUUACUUAUUUUUUUGUGCAAAGCAGUUAGUGAAAGUGUUUUCAAUUAGGAGAAGUUUUGCUUUUCUUUUAUCAGUUGUGGGAAAAUUUGUUUCAAAUCAUUAAAACAUUUUAAACAUGAUAAUCUUGGCCACCAUAUCUUAGCAUAUGUCCUUAUAUUUCCUGAAACUAUAUUCUUCGUUAUGUACAGAAUAAGGUUUAUGUGGGUCUAAUAUCUAAGAGUUUGAGAAUACUCAAAUUCUACAUAGAUAUAUAUGCCUAAUAUCAUUGUAGCAAGACUGAGUAGCCUGUUGGUCCAUCACAUUAAUGAUAUUUACAUUGAUCUUGUUGAAGGUGAAUGUUGGCUUCUGAGUGGAGUAUUGAAUUGUUGAUGCUAAGUUGUGAUAUAAUAAAGCCACUUAGGACUCAGAUUUCUGAAGUAAAAUCUUCAUUAAAAGAAAUUAUAGUAACAUAAAGGCGGUGCUUUUUUGUUUUCAGUGAUCACUCCAUGGCUAUGACACAGUUUCAGCAAAUAUAGCUCCUGGUUCUAUUUGUUAGAUAAAGGAUUACUAGAUGGAGGGGAUAGGCGGAACAUCCUAUGUGGUUAUAAUAUGGGCCUCGAGUUGUACACUAGUAAUCGUUUAGAGCACUGUUUAUUAUAUUUUGACUUGCAUCUGAUUUGUGUAGUAACAGAAAGUUUGAUAUCACUUGUAAAGUAGGUGACUUUAAUGUUCAAUAUGGAUAACUUAUACAUGUUUCUUUCCAAAAUUUCCAGAUAGCCCUUUGGAAUUAUCUAUACCUAAUUGAAUAUGGUAGGCAUGGACAUAACACUUUAACCUUAUUUUAUUAUGUGUGGUGAAGAUGUGACUUAUUUGCAGUAUGUGCAUGUGUAUUUGUUUCCCAGGAACAUCUGGGCAGCUGCGUUCUUAACUGCCCCUGCCCUGGGUGUUUUGUCAUAUAAAAGAAGACUAGGCAAGGUUUUCAAACUCUCAAGAAAUAAACUUGUUUGGGUACUUGAAAUAUUAAGUUUUGAACUUUAUGCAUGUAUGUUUCUUUGCAUUUCUUAUUUUGUAUACAAACUAUCUAGGGAUGUCUUCAUUGAUAUCUAUAAUAUAAGUGUAUUAUGUUCAGUCAAAGUGGACGUGAUGGGAAGAAAAAAGGGGGGGAGGGGUGAGUUGAUUGCAUAAUUUGGAAACUUCAAGCCUAAUGCUGCAAAGGAAUCGGUAAGAGUAGGUCCAAUGAUUUGUUUUUGUAUUUGUACCAUCAGAUUACAAGCCAGUCUGAAUGGAUACCAAGGAUCUAUAUGAUAACUAUACAUGUUUAAGGCAGGGGAUUCCUCUCUUCCCUUUUUAUCCAUUCUAUUGAUGGAAGUAUCAUGCAACAUAGUGCAAAAGUUGAGUAACUGGGAAGGAUUGAGGGCUUCAUGGUGGCAAAGAGUAUGGAAGGGUGAUGUUAUGCAUCAUUGCAAUCCCUUUCUCUUCUUUAUAAGUGUGUUCAGGUUCAUAAUGCACUAUGAUAAUGGUUACAUUUAGUGAAGAUGAUACAUCUAAUGUCUUAGCUGAUAAUUGGGUUCUUAAGUUGGUAAACUAGCUAUAUGUCUAGUGUCACAGUUUGAUGUCUCUAGCUUUACCCCCCCAGUGGCUAUCCCAUUGAAGAAGUCAUUGCUAGUGAACUCAAUGUUCUUAGUGUUUCCUUUUUUCUUUUUCCAUCCACUUUUCGUACUUGCCUUUUUAUUUUCUAAAUGAUAUCUACAAGUGCUUGGUAUGAGAUUUUCAGCUGACAGUUUAUUUGUAGAAUACAAAUACUAAAGGAUGGCGCUCUUGAAUCUUUAACUUUCCACUUAAUUUUACUGUUACCAAGACAGGAUAUGAUGUUCAAUUUAAGAAACUGUUUGCUUUUAGAUUCUUGUCUAAGAACACUUUCUUGUGUUUAUCAUAAAAACAUUUUGAAUUUCAUUUGAGCACUUUUUUUCGUAGUAUGUACCGUGCGCUGGAGAUACAGUUCUUGGGAUUGUGGUAGAUUCUAGAUCAGAUGUAAGCACUCCAUAUUUCUUUUGUUUGGCUUUCAUUAAACCUGCAUUUAUCUUGUCAGUGAAAUUUACUCUUUCCUCUCUUCCCUAAACUUGUUGUAGAAGUUUUGUUUUAUGAGAAAAUAAGCUAAUGAGCCAAAACACAUCCAGUUUUAGGUUCAUAAUCAUCAGGCAAUUCUAUUUAUUUCCUCUUUCCUGAAAUAUUCUUCUCCUAGUUUCCUGCCACAUAUUAUUAUGAUCACAAUCAGAAAAAUUUUGCUUCUACAAACAUCUAGAGAAACAAUAUGAUAAAUAAGAGGGUGCCGUGUCCAUAUCAUUUCUUGAGACCAUAACUAGUGACGCUUGUAUAUCUAUAACAUGGUAUGAUUCCACAACUUGUAUCUACUGAAACGCAAUCAUACAGGUAUACAAACUUUAGAUGCAUGUAUACAUUUGAUGGCCUCACUGUUACUUGUCCACUUUAAGCACUUAGUUUUUGACCACAACUGUUAUGGCAGAACUUUCUUGUGGACAUUAAAGGACCAACCUUGGCAUUUUUGCCUGUACUUGCAUUUGAAGGUGGAACAAGGAGGAACAUACUACAAUUUGAGGUAUGAUUUUUAUUUUAUUAUUUUUUUGGAGUUAAGUGUUGCAUUACAUAUUGAGUUUUGAAUUUUCAUUUCCUAGUAAUGAAAUAUCAACUAAGAAGAAUAACACUAUAUUUUUAAACAUAUACGUGUCUUCGAACUGAAUAAAUUUAAAUGCCAUAAUUAAGUUAAAAAUAGCUUUUAGUUUUGUCAACAUUGGAGGCUGUUUUUCAGACUAUUUAAUGUGUUGUGAAAACAAAUCAAAACUCAGACAAUUAUUUUUGGAAUACAUUAUCUCUCCUAAGUUGUAUGAUUGAAAUUGGAAAGAUGUAAGUGUAUUUUAUAUUCUUUUUGCAGAGGAAAUUCAUAAUGUUACCCUGGUGUAAAUACUGUUUAAUUAAUAUUUAUCCAGCAAAGAUGUAUUAUAAUAUUUCUGAAUUCUUAACCUUUCUUCUUUCUGAAGAAGUUCAUUUUGAACAUUUUGUAACUUUAUGCAAACCUCUUGUACAUUUGUAACAACAGAAGUGUAUUAUCACACUUCUGUGAAGAAACCUCAGGGGAUAGGAUAUUGAAAUUGUCCCUUAUGUUUUUUUCAUGUCAUUUAUUUUGGUGCAAUUUGAAAUGGGACGUCAGGGAACCAAGAAGAUGAAUGUUACAAAAGAUAAAGGCAAGCAGGUUGAGGAACUUCAUGACCAGAAUCCAGUAAAGCCGAUGAGGCCACCAACUGAUUUCAUUGCAUACAGGUAUAUAUGACUUUAUAGAAGCAUUAUUGUAUACAUUUGGGGCUUUGAAUUAGUUAAAAAACGCAUGAUAAAAUCAAAAGUCUAUGUAUAGGAUCUAAUCAUAUUAAAUGUUGGUAGGAUUGACUUCGCACGCAAGCAAAAAGCGAAGGGAAAGGCAUUAACAAUUCAGGAGCUAAACAUAGCCUCUAGAAAUGCAUGGAACAAAUUGCCUGAUGAGGAGAAGCUUGUAUGGAAGAAUGAAAAAGAUAUGAAGAAAUAUAAGGAACUGAUGAAAAGCUACAAGGAGUCUAUAGCUGACAGGGGAGAAAGCAUAAAGAGUGAUGUACCGAAACAAGUAAGGACGUAGUAUACAAUUUUAUUGUUUUUAAAUUAAAUGAUUUAGAAGUUUCAAAGCGCAAGUGCAAGUAUUGGAGUGUUAUUUGGUAAAUUUUAUCAACAUUGUUAUAUUAUUUUUAUAGGCAUACAGGUUUAGGUGCACACCAGCUAAAUUUUUAAGGUUUGUGGGGCGUAUUGAUGGGGAGAAAAUAGCUGCAAUCCAAGAAAUAGGUUUUGGUGGAUUGCUAGAGAUCGAAUGCCACAACCUUCCAAGUAUGAUAUGCAUGUGGUUGGUGAAUAAUUUCAAUCCAACUCACUCAUACAUACAACUUGAAGGUGGACGUGUACUGCCUGUAACGUCAGAAGAUAUAGCAAAGGCUCUUGGAAUUCCAGGUGAGGGGCCAGUGCCGGUUGAAGAUACUGGAAAUGAUGGAAUUGAUAGCGAACCACAUUAUCCUAGGAAGAAGAAGUAUAAUUGGCAUGAUAUAGAAGAUGAGCUAAUAUCCAUGGAGGUCGGGGAUGAAUUCAAGAGAUUAUUUGUUAUUUUUGCAUGUGGGUGCUUGCUUGCUCUAACAACACGAGCUGAAAUUAAAGCCAAUUUAUGGGAGAGUUUACAAUCAACUUCAGAAAUAGCAAAAUUCAAUUGGGCUGAGUUCGUCAGAGCUGAUUUAUGCAAAAAAUUGUUGAAUAUGCAAAGCAAUGCCCACAAAAACGUUGGAGGUUGCAUCCUAUUUUUGCUGGUAAGUUAAGAAAUCUCAACUAGUGGAUGAUCUUAACUUAUAUUUGUUCAUUGUAUCUAACAAGGAUAAGUUGUUAUUUUGUAGCUACAUUAUUAUGAUCGAGUAAGUAUACUCAAUCAUUGUGUUCGUAGGACCUGCCCUAUAGCAAAAGCAUGGACUGAUGCUAAUAUAAUGGAAAGAGAAACACUAGAAUUGGGUGGUCUUGGAAAAUUUGGCAAAGGAAAGCUAGUAAGUAUUACUGAAACAAUGAUAUUUUUGGAAUUUGAGUUAGUAUAUUAUACGGCUAACUGCUUUACGAAACUUACAACAUACUUUUUUGUCCACAAAGGUAGGGUCAAACAAAACGAACAGAGAAGAAAAAGAGGAAGAGGAACCUACUGAGCUGCCACCGGAUGUGAUUAGCCAGAUGGUGAAUAAUGGACAUGGAGAAAUUGCUGUAAGAUAACAAAUUAAAUCUAAUACGAAUGCAAAUAUGUCCAAAGUUGUACGAAUAUGAGGAUUAAUUGCAUUUAUUUUUUUAUAUUCAGGUUCAUCUAGCCAUUCUAUAUACAAAAGCGGCAACUGCUGAGCGGAUAGCAAUCGAAUGUCAACAAAGUGUAAUGAAUAUAUCCAGUAUCCUUUGCUCGCAUCGUAGUGCCAUGCCAUCAUGUUCCCAGACAGCCGUUAGAUCCACAAGAAAAUGGGCAAAAAAGCGAAUGAUCGAUGAUGAGAAGGCAAAGGUUGUUAUAGAUUGUGAUACGGACAAAUUUGAAUAUGAAAACAACCAAGACGAGACGUGUGUUGGGGAUAGGAAUGAGGAUUUUGGUGAAAAUGAGGCAAGUGAACCUGAAGAUAGAGAAGGAAAAGAUGAUGCUAAGGCAAUUGCAGAAGUUCAUUUCUUGGAUGCAGGUCUAACUUCCCCAUCAGGAGCUACAGUAGAGCAACAUUCGCUAUGUGCUGCAACACAAUGGAAGGGUCGGUCUAGAUAUAAAAAAAGAGAGUGCGAAGGCAAGUUAUAUAUGUUGUAGCUAAAAUUCUGCUUUCAUUUGUUAUUGCACUUUGUAAAUGAUAUAAAAAUUGAUCAUUACAAAAACAUUUGCUAUUCUUGACUUAAUAUAGAUGCGGAAGAUGGCCGAAUGCACAAGACAUUGCGGAUGACAAGGCACAACACCCUCAUCAGGUCUACUGAUUAUCAGCUCCAAAUCCAGGCUACUUUGACACAAUGUAGUCGGAAGAUUGCGAAUUUCACAUGGCAAGACGCGGGAGAUGAGAGGUAAAAUCUUUUUUCAUGCGAUAAUAUUCGGAGUAAUAUGCUAUUUUUAUUCAUAUUCAUUUAUAAUUGAACUUAACAUUGUUGACUCAAUGUUCAAUGUAGUGAGAUAUUAGUGUCUAUGUUCGAAUUUAGCCUUAACCAAAGAGAUAUGCAAUCCUUGCGGGAGAAGCAUUGGGUAUCAGAUAGGGUAAGCCACGAAAAAAGAAAAAUUAUUUUAUUUGACUAAGUUAACUGCUGUAGUUGUGGAGAUAGUCUCACCUUUUGGAAUGCUAAGAUAUUUUAUUGUUAUACUCACCCCUCUUUUAGGUCAUUGAUAUGUAUGCAAGAUUAUUGAAUAAUGAUGUGAGUAAAAGACUGAUGAAGGUUAAGCGAUACAUUGUCGAGCCAUGUGUUGUUGUAAGUAUAAUGGCCAACUUUUUUUUACCAGCAACUAACAUCAUGCAUAUACAGUUUCACUUAUUGUUAGUUUAUUAGAAAAUUUGAUUCCAAUGUUUAUUAAAUAGUAUGAAUUGCUCGUGCAAUUUCUAACUAUCGUAUGACUUUCGAUCCAAUUUCAUUGAUUUGUUGGGUAGGCUGCCAUUCAAGGUGUAGACCGAUUUGAGAAAAAGUCUGAUGAUGUCCUAUAUUCGAAACUGAACAAGUGGUUCAAAAUAAGAGCAGAUAAUGCGUCAAGUCUAGCAAAUGCCGAUAUGGUAAUCAGUCUCUUAUAACUGCUGGAUCAAAUACCUUUUAUUUUAUAUCAAAGAUGUUGCAUUUGUAAAGUUUAACACAUUAUAUUUUCAGAUACUAGUUCCAGUGGUGAACAAAAGUCACUGGUUUGUAUACUCAUUUGAUAUUACACAAAGCAUUGUUCAUCUCCUUGACUCACGAGUUGAUUCAUCACGGGUUCGACAGACUAACAUCUUACGACGACUGGUGAAAUCUAAACACUAUUUAUACCUUGAAUUUUUAAUGCAUCUGUUUCAUGGCUUUAUAUUAUAUAACUAGUGAGAAAGUGUAAUUAGGAAAAUUAUAUUUUUAUAUUGCAGAAGCGAACCUUGGGCUUAAUAAUGGCAAAACAAUUUGAUAAGUUGCUGGAUUUCGAGGGAUUUGUAUUGCAAGUCGCAGAUGUGCCUCAACAGUCUCCACACAAUAGGUAUAUGUCCUGUAAAUAAGAGUUUAUUUAUAUUCUAUCUUGAAAUAUAACUAAAUACUAAGUUAUAUUAUUAGGAUGGUAAGGUAAAACUUGUAUGUCCUACAAUUUGGUUGUCACGACAAUGUAUACCUCAUGUUUCAGCUAUGAUUGUGGUGUGUUCAUAAUGAAAUUUCUAGAGCACUGGAAUGGAAGAUUAGGCAUACGCAUUACAGAGGUAUAUAUAUUAUUUUGAUUUAUAGAAAUUUUUUGUAGCAAUUAUUUUUAUGAUGACUAAUGUAUAAUAUGUGGUGCUGAUUAUUUCAAUUCUUGGAUAGGAUAACAUGUGGAAGUAUCGAGUGCAAUAUGUGUCUAUGUUGGUUGCAACCGAGCAUAAUGAAUGGGCCGAAUCCAUCCUUGAGCUGUUAAAUAUCCCUCCCCGACGAAAAAGCUAGUUGUAAUAAAUGAUUGACAAAUAUUUAGUAAUUUACGAGUUGUAUUGCAUAGAAUUUUGUACUUGUCUAGAAUUAUCUCCUUUUGGGAUUACCGUUGGGAGCAAAGUUCAUUAGUUAUGAACUUUUUACUACUAGUGGGACAUAUAGAAUUUUGUGUUGGGAGCAAAGUUCAAUACUGUUGGGACACGCUUCAUUUUUUGUUUGCGGCAGACAGGGUUGGGACACCGCGAUGAAUAUAUAACUUCUUGUAAUCAAUUGAAUAGAAGUAAAAGGUGUAAAACUAUUCUGCAUUGAUUGCAAUUCUCAAACUACUAUCUAAUAUAAAAGUAAAACAAUCAUUUUAAUAUUACAUUAUUCCAAUCUAGUUCCAAAAGGGUCACAAGAUACAUCAGCUUAGCAUACAUAUUCAUGGAAGGCAAUUAGCUUCUACCCAUUUAUAUCGUAGGUAGUUGCACUUCUUCGUCGCUUAAUUGCAUGAGAGUACUGCUCUUUGACCUUUCCACAGAGGCCACAAUGGGGGUCUGGCAAUCAUUGAAACAAGCAAUAAAUUAUUUAAAUCAAAAGUUCAGUGUUCAUAAAAGCAUGCCCUACAAUAAUCUUGUAACAAGGUUAGAAUAGUUCUAAAUAAUAACUGUAAAUAAUGAGCUUUUUAAAGAAUUACUGACCAUUAAGAAUUCGGUGAAACUUGUGUACUUUGUCUUGCUCACAGGAUGUUGGGAAGCAAAAGUGGGAGAUUGUUACGAUCUUGAAUACGGAUAUUAUGAGCACUCAGUAUUUGAGGAGUGAUUCCAGCUUCACCGGGCUACCAUUAAGUAUUGUACUGAAUAAGAUACUGUAAAUUUGUCCAAAAUCUUGAUUAUCCAUACAACUGCAAUAUCUGACUUACCAUCCUACAAGACUGCAUAUCUGAGUGAAUAACUGGGGAAGAUCCAAAAUUUGAUUCACUGAAUGACUGUUAUCACGAGUAGCACAUUACAUUAGUUGCAAAGUCAUGCUAACACUGUGUAUAACACCAAACUAACUAAUUUGUAAAAAUUAAAUACACAUUGUGUCCAAAAUUUAAGAUGUUAGGUCGUACGAAAAUUAUGAUGCAAAUGUGUAUAUAAUAUAUAACAACGUGUUCAACUGAAUUAACAAUAUGUAAACAAAAAUCAACCAAAAGUAAUCUAAACAAAAAUCAAAAUUCAGUACAUACGUGACCAUAAAUGAAUACAUUGUAAAGUUAUACUAUAAACUUAUGGGCUACUAUGGAUAUAACACAUAACCAAUGCAUUAGAUUGAAGUAACUAUGAAAUAGAUUUCAAAUGAUAUGAUUUGUAAUGUACAAGAUAAAAUACACCAUGUACCAGAAUAAUAACACGAUGUCAAAAUUAAAUAACGGGUGAUAAAUAAUUGUAACUUCUACGAUUGAAAAAUUAAAUGUGAGCAAAUAAAUUAAUAAUGUGUAAAAAAUUUUAUCCAAAUGUGUAAUCAUGUGUCCAAAUGGAAUUAUUCAUAUUUCAAGACAAAGUAACCAGUAGUACAUGAUAUCAAUCAAUGCGUACAGCAUAUAUAUCAGUUUGUACAUAUAAAACAACAAUAUGUAAAUGCUAUUAAAUCAAGAGAUCACCGUAUUGUGUACCAACUAAUAUACACCGUGUACCAGAAUAAUAAGACGAUGUCAAAACUUAACAACGGAUCAUAAAUAAUUGUAACUUGUACGAUUGAAAAAAUAAUUAUGAGAAAAUAAAUUAAUAAUGUGUAAAACAUUUUAUCCAAAUGUGUAAUCAUGUGUCCAAAUGAAAUUAUUCAUAUUUCAAAACAAAGUAACCAGUGAUACAUGAUAUCAAUCAAUGCGUACAACAUAUAUAUCAGUUUGUACACAUCAAACAAUAACAUGUAAAUGUUAUUAAAUCAAGAGAUCUCCGUACUGUGUACCAACUAAUAUACACCUGUGUACCAGAAUAAUAAGACGAUGUCAAAACUUAACAACGGAUCAUAAAUAAUUGUAACUUGUACGAUUGAAAAAAUAAUUAUGAGAAAAUAAAUUAAUAACGUGUAAAACAUUUUAUCCAAAUGUGUAAUCAUGUGUCCAAAUGAAAUUAUUCAUAUUUCAAAACAAAGUAACCAGUGAUACAUGAUAUCAAUCAAUGCGUACAACAUAUAUAUCAGUUUGUACACAUCAAACAAUAACAUGUAAAUGUUAUUAAAUCAAGAGAUCUCCGUACUGUGUACCAACUAAUAUACACCUGUGUACCAGAAUAAUAACACGAUGUCAAAACUAAUCAACGGGUGAUAAAUAAUUGUAACUUGUAAUUGAAAAAAUAAAUGUGAGAAAAUAAAUUAAUAACGUAUAAAAAACUUUAUCCAAAUGUGUAAUCAUGUGUUCAAAUAGAAUUAUUCAUAUUUCAAAACAAAGUAACUAGUGGUACAUGGUAUCAAUCAAUGCGUACAACAUAUAUAUCAAUUUGUACACAUCAAACAACAACAUGUAAUUGUUAUUAAAUCAAGAGAUCUCCAUACUGUGUACCAACUAAUAUAUACCCGUGUACCAGAAUAAUAACACGAUGUCAAAACUAAUCAACGGGUGAUAAAUAAUUGUAACUUGUACGAUUGAAAAAAUAAAUGUGAGCAAAUAAAUUAAUAAUCUGUAAAAAAUUUUAUCCAAAUGUGUAAUCAUGUGUCCAAAUGCAAUAACGAUAUUUCAAAAUAAAAUAACCAGUGGUACAUGAUAUCAAUCAAUGCGUACAACAUAUAUAUCAGUUUGUACACAUAAAACAACAACAUGUAAAUGCUAUUAAAUUAAUAGAUCGUCGUAAUGUGUACCAACUAAUAUGUACAAAAUAUGAUAUUACUGUGUCAAAAUAAAUAACAUGUGAUGAACAUCCUAUCACUAAUAUGUAUACCUUAAUAACCAAUGUGUACAAGUAAAAUAUUAAUUUGUAACACCUAAAUAACUAAUAGUGAACUAUAAUGCACAUUAUGUAAAGUAUAAAAAUAACUACUUACUGCCACAGAAUUAUUCGAUGACAAACAUUUGCUUGAUGUUUGGCUUUGGAUAGGUUGAUAGGAUUCUGAUGACUGACAAGAGAAGAAUAUACAACAACUCAGUCGGCUUAUGAUAGUAGAGUCAAUUGAAAUGAUAUAGUUAUGUAAGUCCAAAAAUAAGAUUGGGUACUAACCAUCUCAGGAGUGCUUGCCUCAGACAAUCUAGAGUUUUUCUUUUACCUGUGAAACCUGUCCACCCAACUACGCAAUACUUUCUUAGUUUUUCUGCCUCUUCGUUUCUUCAAACCUGUUGGAGUCACAAAGUGACCAGCUGCAUUCUGCACCUGUAUUCCCUUACAUAGAUCCAUUGAUGCACUAUUCUGUGUUAUUUCAUCUAUUUCUCCACAAAAUAGCAUUUCGACUCUCUUUGACAAUUCAGACAUUGCGCUACUGACUAACUUUGUAGCGGCUUCUGACAUGGCAGCCCUGGUAGCAAGUCUUACCAUUUCGGGUGCUAAUAGCCUAUAUCGAUGGGAAAUAGAGAGAGACGGAUCUGAUGAUAUUUCUCUACCCUUGCAAUCGACGCUGCCUCCGGACCUUGCCUUCUUUGUCCACCUCUUUGUCACAUAUUGAUCAGGAAUAAACUUUGUUCCAACCAUAUCAUACACUUUUAAAGCAUGUGAGCAUAGGAUUCCUUCCUGCUCAAAAAGAUUACAACUACAAGUAAUGUCUUUAGUUAUUGGAUUCAAUAUCAGUCUUCUUGCCCUUCCUCCAUCAUAGUGACUGACACUGUAUUCCACAUGCAUUGUAGUAUGCUUUUGGUCCAAGAUCACCAUUGUAGUGCAUUCAUCGUAUUCAUUCUGGAAUGCAACAAACAUACAUGGAGAGUAUAUACAAGCUGCCUGGAUCAGUACGGGAGUCUGUUGCAAUCCCAACAUUGGCAGCUUCUGUCGACUGUGAUACUCAGCUCUUAGUUCAUUAUAUCUUUUUUCAUCCACAACUCGGUCAAAAUGUUUGAAAAAUUCAACCAGAUCAUGAUCAAGUUUUAGAUAAUUUUUUAUGGAAGCAUUUAGACUCUCACUUAGUUGGGUGCUACGCAUACCUGCAGUCCAGGCGCCUUUCAUGAAGCAUUUUGCCCAUUUCUUUCGACAUGCAUAAAUGCCACACAACCAUUCAUUUGUUUCGAGCUUGUGUUCUUUUAGCAUUGCAUCCCAGGCCAUGAUAAACUCAUUUUCAUCUUCUAUCUCAUACAUACAUUCACCAAAUCUAUAUGGGAGAUUACUACCAUCCUUGUAAUAGUUCCCAAGGUGUUUCAUGAAGUUGACUCUAAUAUGAAAAGUGCACAGACCAUGGUAUGUUGAAGGCAUAACAGCUGAAAUUGCAGCGGCCAUGGCUGCAUCCUGAUCUGUGAAGAUGGUUUUUGGGUGCCUUCCACAAACUGCCUCUACAAAUGUACCGAACACCCACUUGAAUGAUUCAAUGGUCUCAUCAUACAAUAGAGUUGCUCCAAAAAUAACCAAUUGUCUAAAUUGAUUGAAUCCCACAAAUACGCCCAAUGGUCUGUACUCCUUGUUAGUUUUAUAUGUGGUGUCAAAUGUAAUCACAUCUCCAAAAUAGGUAUAAUCCAUCAGCAUUGAUGCAUCAGCCCAAAAUAUAUUUGUAAUUUGUUCUUCACAAUCAAGCUGCUCUGCGUGGAAGAAUGACGGAUUUUCCAAUUUUUGUUCUUCAAAGUAUUGUAGCAUUGCACCAGCUUCACCAUACUUUAAUCCUCUCUCUCUUUUUGUUCGUAGAUAGCGUUUUAAGUCAUCACGAGUGUAGCCAAUAUUGCCUAAUCCACCUGCCUCUUUUCCCAUGAGUUCAUGGGAUUGUUUCAAGGAUAUUCCUGCAUCAUUUGCAAUCUCAGCUUGGGCUCCUUGAGAAAUACUUACUUUUCUUUGCGAACGCAUCAUAUGAGCACAUUCUGAAAUGUGUAGUAUGUGAUUAUGCUCGAUUACCAGAUCUCGAACCUGAUACUUCAUUGUUUCUCUGUUCAAAAUUAUCCCCAUUUUAGCUUCACAUCCGGUUUUUGUUUCAGCCCGAGUUCUCUUUGGUUUUACAUCUCCUUCGUACCGUGGUUUGAAACCUUCUUUGCAACAUGUGUACCUUCUCGAUGUAACUACACCGUCUUUAUCCUUGUUCAAGUAGUCUUUCCGAACACUAAACCCAACAACUAAUCCGUACCUAUUGUAGAAGUUGUAUGCCUCAUCUUCUGACUGAAACUCCAUGCCGAUCUUAGGACACAAUGCUUCUUCCAUUGUCCUGUAUUCGACAAAAGCAUUUUUUGCUAUUGUUUUUCAAGACAAACAAUUAUAUUUAUUUUGUAUUUCUUUAUUCACAUCAUAAGCACUUAAUUAUUUGUAUUCACAUAUGUACAUACUUUAUAACGACGUGUACACACCUUACAACAUUUUGUAAAAUAAUUUUUAUGGAUGUGUAUCUUCUUUGUAAUAGGUAAUCACAUAACUCUAAUAAUUUGCAUAGCAUAUUUCACUACAAAAUAUAUACAUUUCAAACAAAUAUUAUAACCAAUUUGUGCAUAAUAUCAGAAUUUUCAUACUUUAAAAUCAUAUGUUCACACUUUAUAACAAUGUGUACACCCUUUAUAUCAACUUGUAACAUAACAAAUGCAUGUAUGCCUCGUACACUUUUACAUAGCGUAAGGUUUGACAGAAUUCUCAAAAUCUAUACAUUGUCAUCUAUACCGUUUGUGUAGUUAUUUAAGUUGGUCACAUUGUUAAAUUAUUUUUACGCUUAUGUUAUUUUAUUUGUACACAUUCUCAUUUAUAUUUUGAAAUUCUGUACGGGAUCUUUAUUGUACAAGUUAACCAUUCUCUCUAAAAGGAUAAUGACAUACUUCUUAUAAUUUUUAAAUCAUGCUUCACUAAAUAACACAUUUAUUACAAUCAAAUUACAUAUAAUAUCAGCGUUUACCUUGGACAGAGUUCACCAAGCAGUAAAUUUCAGAUGGGCCGCUCACAAGUCUCAGCUAUGCAUUUGUUACUCGAUGAAUAUCUAUCUCAGUCAUCCACUACUUAAAUCGGCGUGUAUUGUUGCUGCAGCGGAUCUUCACAAUUAUCUUGUACACACCUCAGAAAAGAUGCCCGUUUUGAUAAGGUUUAUUUAAGAGUUGGAAGAGAAGAAGACAAAAAUUUAUGUCUAUGUUAUGCAAAAUAAUUUGUUGAGAGGAGAAGAACAGAAGGAGUUUGUUGAAAGAGGAAAAGCAAAAGGAGCUACAGCAACAAAGUAUUCAGAGAAAAUCCAUUACCGCCAUUUUCUUCCCACAUCUUUUAAGUUGAAAGAGUUUUAAAUCCCGUGCGGUCGUACCAAAAGUUGAUUUUCAAAUUUUGAUUUUGAAUUUUUCAUACCCUUAACUGCCAGACCAAACGGAGUUAAAAGUUAAGCUUGUAUUAAAGCAACAAUCCUCUACACUCAUCUCCAUUUUGUUCGCUUUCAUUUUGGCCGUUGAUGAUGGGCCCACCACAUCUUGGCCAUGAAAAGUUUAUAAGCGGUUGUCUGGCAACCGCUCCAGCCCCUUGUCCGUAUCGUUCCAGGUGCAUAGGAUAAGAAACCUUAAUCAAUAGAAGAAUUACGGAGUCAAUGCCAUGUCCACUUCGCCAUGUCCACUUCGCCAUGUCCACUUCUAUCAACAGUUUGUCAAAUUAGUUUCAUUAACUCUAACAUUUAUCAAAUAAAUAUCAAUCUUAUGUGGCAACAUAGAAAAAUCAAAAGGAAAACUAUGUGUUGAUAUGGUAUUAAAUUCAAAUUUUGGGUUUUUCUAUUAUGUCCUCAAAAGUAUAGCACAGAAUAAGCAUAUAAAAUAGAAAGGGUGGACUCGCUAUAAAUUUCAAUUAUUAUUAUUUAUAUUUUGAAUUAUAAAAUCUUGUGCAAAUAAUUGGAAAGUAGAUUCAUCUCUUAUCGUGUGUCCUAAAUGGAACAAUUCUAAAAGUUUUAAACCUUGUUACUUGACUAUAUCUCAAUCAUCAAUGAUGUUGCAAAGAUUUGCUAAUUAGAUUUGCAAAGAUUUGCUAAUUGGAUCUAUUCGAUAGAUCUCACUAUAUUAUCCUGUUCUUUAAUAUCUGUGUAUGUUUGAUGAUGUAAUUUCUAUCAUUAAUAUAAAUUUUAAUGAAAUUAUGAUAUUUUAUAUAAAAAAAUGGAGGUAAUUAUACAGGGGUUUACCAAGUCAACAUAAUUUGUGGGCCCAAGGGAUUUGACAAGGUUUAAUUUAUAUUAUAUAGUAUAGGUAUUUUAUAGGUAUUUUAAUAGGUAGGGUUUGAUUUGGAUCCCUUUGAUCUACAUUCAAACUUAUUAAAUUUAGUUAGACCUAAACCUAUACCCAACCCCUUAUGGGUCUCAAAAAGUAAACUCAAACUCGAACCCUCAUAGGUUUAGGUAUUCAACGGGUAUUUGUGAAUACUUUUUUGAACAUACAGUGAAGAACCAAAGUAAAAAUAUUUUGAAAAUAUAUAGAGUUAAAAAAUAACAUAAAUAUCAUCCAAUUUUUAUUUUCAAAUAAUAAAAUCAACAUUCAUGAUGUUGAACACAAUAUUAUGAACUGAAAGAAAGAAUUAUUAUCAACUAAAACUAUUUGUUUUCAAAUUUUCAUCUGUGUCUAUAUUCAAUCUUUUAUUUAUUUGCUUUCAUUUUUUCUCUUUUUCUUGAAAAUGUUUGUAUCAAUUAUAAUGACAUAGAAUAUUAGGUUAUUUUCCAAAUUUACUUAUACAUACACACACAUAGAAUAUUACAUGGGUAUUGGUAGGGUCUAAUUUGGAUUUGAAUUUGGAUCUAAAUCAUAGAAAACCAUACUCCACCCAAAUUCAUGAUUCUCUUACAGGAUCUAGAUUUGGUUAGGGUCUAGGUUUAAUAAAUUAAACCUAAACCCUACUCAGAUAUACUGGAUAUGGAUUUGAUUUAGAUAAAAUCUGAUCCAUUGACAUACCUAAUUCGGUACCAUAGGCUACCCUUAAAAUAGUACGUUUAGGUGAAAUAUGGAUGAAAUUAAUUGGAAUAGCACCUUUUUAAUUAGAUAAGACAUCUUUGUCAGCCUAUAAUCUAGUUCCGUAUACAACUUCUUUUAUAAUCCAAAGCUAGAACGUUGCAUUCGAUUAAUAAUAAACAAUAAUGUUGAUUAAUGAAACAUACGGUGGCAUAAAUAAUUGAAGAGUGCACCUAUCUUUUAUUAUGUUCCGUGAAUAGAAGAAUCCGAAAAGUUUUAAACCUCUUGUUACUUGACUUUCAUCUCAACCAUCAAUGAUGUUUUCAAAAUUUGCUAAUUGGACAAUAACAUGCCAAGAAUCACGCCGUUGCAUGACCCAUCUUCGAGUUCAUUGAUCGAGACACGACUUUUUGUCCUAGAAUUUUCAUCUUCCUGGUUUCAUCACUCAAAGCUGGAAAUGGCAUGAGAACUAAGAGGUCACCUCCUUUCCAUAACGACUUAAACCAUAGGGCAGAUAGAUGCCAACUUUAUUCACUUUCCCUCUAAAUUGGCCCAUCCAUUGGCAUGAGAAUUAAGAGGUGGGGAGGGGUCAUGAUAGGAAUGGAUGCCCGUCCUUUGGGGAGAGAAAUGGAGUGAAGAGAGCUGCGGGGGCAGGAGUGGGGUGGUGGGUAGGGGUGCAAACGAAUCGAGCCGCUCGCGACUCGAGCUCGAUCAAUAUCGAGCUCAAGCUGGUCGAGUCAAAGUCGAGCUCAAAAUAUUGAGCCCGACUCGCGAGUUCAAGUAUAUAUAUAUUUUUUUUAUUUAAUAGUAAAAUUACAUAAAUAUCCUUCAUAUUUUAUUAUUUAUUAGGAAAAAAUAUUAUUUUAUUUAUUUUUUCGAGCUCGAGCUUCAAAAUUGUCAGCUCGUCGAGUUCGAGUUCGACAAAAUUAAGUCAAGACUCGGUUUGAUUGGGCCAAAAUGCGACUCGGCUCGGCUCGGCUGCAGCCCUAGUGGUGGGGAUUUUCCCCCCCCCCCCACCAUGUGGCUACCAUCCCCGCACCAUCCUUGCCUAUAAAUUAAAUAAAUUAAUUAAUAUGCAGCUAUAUUUGCCAAUAUCUAUGUACAUAUUAUAUUAUUUAUAAUUUUGUAACAAUAAUAGUAACAGCUGUUAGUUUAGAUUUGCUAACAAAUACGGAGAAAUGUUUUUAAAAGAUUAAAGUAGAUUUUAAACAUAAUGUCAUGUUGAAUAUUAUUUAAAAGUCCAAAAGAUUGAUUUAUAAAGUUAUUUGUUAAUAUUAUAUAUGAAAAAAUAAGAUUAAAAAAAAAUUUAUUUUGAACCACCCAUCAGGGCACCCCGGUUGGGUAGAUGGAUGGGCGCGGGGGUAAGAGAAGUGGGGGGAUAGCACUAAAGCCAGGAGAAGUUUUUAAAGCACAAGGAGGGAGAGGGGUGAGGGUUUCCUAGCCUCAUAUCCACCUCAUUGUCAUUCCUCUAGUCACCGACUCUCUAAAGCCUAGAAAUUUUAGUUUUCCCUCAUUAAAGGUUUGAAAGCAUAAAUGUUAACUUUUGCCUCCACAAAAAUUUAUAAAAUUUAAUAUUAAAAAUAUAUAUAUAUAUAUAUAUAGUUUUUUUUAAAUCAAAGUAAUUGUUAUGCUUCCGUCUACGUAGCAAGGUCAGUAUAAUUUCAAUACAUAUUUGAGGAUAAUCUAAAAUUUGGAUAACAUCAUGAAGUGCAGGUGAUGAACCAUUUUCGAAGACAGUAGCUGAUAGACCCUUAAUCAUAAGUCAAUUUUAAAAUUUCGAAGCGAUAAGACUUGUUUUUUUUUUAAUAUGACCAAGGAGGAGGUAAUUAUCAAUGGGUCUACCAAAUCAACGUAAUUUGCAGGCCCAAGAGAUUUGAGAAGGUUUAAUUUGUACUACAUGGUUCCAUGGGUUGCCUUUGAAACACUGCAUUUAGGAGGAAUAUGGAUGAAAUUAAUUAUAAUAGCAGCUCUUUAGGUGCGCCAUCAUUGUCAAGCCUAGAACUAGUUCCGUAUACAACUUCUUAUAUUAUCCAAACCUAGCACUGAAUCAAAGUGGGACCACUGAAUUCAACAUUAACCAAACAAUAAAUCGUGCAAUUCAUGAAUUGCCUACUGUCAUGAAAACUGGAUAAUAACAUAUGCAAGCAAUCAUGAUGCCGUAAAUCCAAAAGCCGAGCCACAAAGCAAUAAAUCAUGAACGAAAAAGUCAACAAUCAUGGUUUCAACAAAUAUCUCGUUUGCCGAUUCUUCACAAAUAUCAUACAUAAUUAUUCUUAAAGAUAAAAAUUACUGAAUCCAAAUUAUUUCCUAAUAAUCAAUCAUAUGGGCUCUGAUACCACUUGUUAGAGUGGUUGUUUAUUUUAGGUGAAAACUAUCACCUAUUAAAAUCAAAAUUUAUAUAGCUAUUAUUAAGAAAUAAAUUAACAGAAAAAUUGCAGAAGCGUACCUUGAUUCAUGUUGACAAAUUAACACUUGAAUCCUUGAAGAUUUUGGAGUGAUCUUCUAGAUCAACACGUAUUUGCUAAUUCUCGAGAGAACCCUUGAAGAUUAUGUGCCUAGAAGUAUUUUGAUUUUUUUUCCAAGACAAUAAAUGAACUGAUUUUAUAUUUAAAACCUUCAGCAACUUUUUCACUAUCAACCACAAGACUUGACCAUAAUUUUUUCUAAAUCGACACGCAUAAGAUUAACUUAAAGUAAUGACUAGGAAUUAAUGAAAAUAAAUAUCGAAAACUGUGGAUGUACCAUCACCUAUAGGUUCGAUGAUAUACAACCACCUAACAAAACAAAAGGUAAAAUAAUCAAAGCCCCUAACUUUUAGUGUAAUUCGCACUUUUUCCUUAACGUUAUCUUAAUUUUUUGCACUUUGCCACUUCUGGUAAUGGAAUUACUAAUUUUACCAGUACUUCCAUCUUUCUACACGUUUAGCAUUUCAAAGGGGUUAGAAUAGUUGGCUUGCGGUUCUAAUACUUUCAAUUAUUGUCGAGGCCUCAACCAAUAAGGUACUAUCUGUUCAUGCCUCUGAUGUAUACGAGUCAUUUCAAAAGCAAAACAACUCCUAGAAUAAAGCCAACCUAUGGGUAAUAAUGUUAAAACCAAUCCAUUUAUAGUUGAAGUGCAAAAUUCCAAACGACAUAUUAAUUGCAUGUAUAUACGCAGUCUGGGAAAAGUCUCAAACUGGGUGAAGAUUCUCCACAAUUGAUAGAGCAAUUGCAAUUGAUGGUUUAAAUAGUUUUAGUAUGAACGUUCACUAGAUGAGAUUGAUUAUGAGACACAAUUUUUAAUAAGUGAUAAAACUUGCUGUAUUCUUAGUUACGUUGUUAAUAUUUGUAUUUCAUCAAUUUUUGGAGAUGGACUAAUCCAAUUUUGAUACAAAUUGAUAAAGAAAUACAUCACUCCAGAGACGUUCCAUGAAGACUUUAAGUCGUCGCCAUGUUAUCAACAAUUUUGUAGAAACAUUUAUAACCGUAGCUGGUGCUUUCUCUGAGAUUACUUUUUCAGAUGACCAAUUCCAAAGAAAUUCCAUUUAGUUGUACUAAACAAGCUUAUUAUUCAAGUGUCACUGAUAUUCAAAGUGAACGAUAAGCUCUUUUCCAGUUGAAACUCGAUAAACAAAAUCAAAUCGUCAGCCAUGGUGGAUUGUGUUGCGCAUGAUUCAUGAAAGGAGGUAGCGAUAACAAAAACACUAGCCUUGUCAUAAAACAAAUCAGAAAAUUUGUGUGUAUUUAUAUAUGAAUUAAUCUUUUUUAUACAUAUAUAUGUAUGUAUAUAUGUAUGUAUGUAUGUAUGUGUGUGUGUGUGUGUGUAUGUGGAUUGUGUUUUGCAUAAUUCAUGAAAGGAGUUAGCCAUGACAAAAAUACUGACCUUGUCAUAAAACAAAUCAGAAAAUUUACUUUAUAUAUAUAUAUAUAUAUAUUUAUUUAUUUAUUUAUGUGGAGACGUACAUUUUUCAACCUAAACCUCUCAAUGAGCCUUCAGCUCCCCAUUUGUUUUUCUCAGAUUUUAAUUUAUUUCAUUGAUCAAAAUAUCAUUAAUGCUUUUUGUUUGGGUUAAAUCUAAAAAUAUUGUUUUAUUAGUUAAGUUUAGUUUCUAAAAGUAGAAUAUUCCAAAUGUGACAUAUCAAAAAUAGGAAAGAGUGCCAAUAAUUGUGAAAUCUAAAUUUCAUUUUUUAAUUAAUCUUACCAAAGUAGCAUAUGAUCAGGUUUGAGGUUGGCAAAUUUACCAAAAUUAGAAUAUACAAUUAAACGUUAUGAACAUAAUAUUAAUGAAAAUUUCCAAAAUUCCUUUAGUCUUUUAUUAACCUUAACAAAAGUAAGUAGGUUUGUCCAAGAACUAUAACAUGUCACUAAGGAAACAUCUUUCGAAUAUCUAAGUAUAUAAAGUGUGAUUUGAAUCUGUGGUGCUAAAAUUUUGUGUCAUCUUUUACAUUAUCUCUAAAAAUUUCAAAAUGUAAAACCAAAUUUUAGUAAAAUAACUUUUACGCAUAUGACACAUAUAAAGUGUGCCUUGAUCACGAAUUGAUAUCAAUUGCAACUUGGAGCUACGUGUGUGUGUGUGUGUAUAUAUAUAUAUAUAGGUAGAGAUUUACACAAACCACAAACGUGGAAUCUGGUAUGAUAAAUUUGGGAAGCUCUCUAAAAGUACCCUAUGUUCAGGAGUUGGCUAAGGAGAAAUUUGCAUCAGUUCCACCCCGAUACAUACGACCUGAUCCAACCAAACUUCAUGGGGUCUCCACAGAGGAAAUCCCAGUAAUUGACAUGCAAAGGUUGCUUUCUGAUGAAUCAGUGAAUCCAGAUCUUGAAAAGUUGCAUUUUGCCUGCAAAGAAUGGGGCUUCUUUUAGGUUUGUCAUUUCGUAUUUGUAUAUGCAUAUAUUAGGUACUGUUGUAUGACUUUUCAGGACUGUAGGUAAAUGAUAUAUCUUGCCACAAGUUUUUUUUUUUUCAUAUUGAAAUGUUUCUUUUCAUAUGAACUCAUUUGGUUUUCUCUAGUAGUAGUACAUAAUGCAUGACUAGAAUGUAAUAGGAGUGAUCUCCUUUUCUUUCCUGCUUUUCCUAGGAUCUUCUUUGAAUUGUUAUACAAGGACAAUCAUCUAAUUUAAAUGGAUAUACAUGCCUGCUGUUAAAAUGGAGAAGUGUUAUAAUAGUCAGCAACAAAUAAUUAGUGACUGUACAAUUUGUCACCAGCUGAUUAAUCAUGGAGUGAGCUCUUCAUUAGUGGACAAACUGAAACUAGAGAUGCAAAAGUUUUUCAAUUUGACGAUUGAAGAGAAGAAGAGAUUUGCCCAAGAACCGGGCGAUGUAGAAGGAUAUGGACAGGCCUUUGUUGUAUCUGAGGAACAAAAACUUGACUGGGCUGACAUGUUUUACAUGGUCACUCUGCCAACUCACUUGAGAAAACCUCAUUUACAUCCCAACCUUCCUCUUCCAUUCAGGUACAAGAAAAUUUGCCCACACAUUCAUAUCAUUGUAUUUAGGAUGCAUUUGAUAAAAUUGAAGUUUAAAAACUGAAAUCUGAAAUUUGAAUCCAUUAAAUUAUUGAAUUAUUAAGUAUUAAAUCAAAUACAUUUGAGUGUAUAUCACAUUCGGUGAUAAGUGAAAAGUUUAUCACUUAUUUUUUAUAGCAAGUUUUGCCUAAAAAAUUUAAUGACACUUAAUUAAUUUAGAUGUUCAAUUUUUGGUUAACAAAUGUAUCUGAUUAUAUUAAGAUCUAAAUACAUUAAGUUUAAAUGAUGAAUUGUGUUGUCAAACACAUGAGGACUAUAGUAACAUCACACAUAGUAUAACUUUUGAAAGUCAUAAGCGUCUAAAAUACUCUACACUUGUCUAAACUUUUCAAAAUUUUGUGGGUGAAAAUACUUAAAAGCUAGGGAUAAGAUGAUCACAGACUAGUAAUAGGUUAAGAAAACAAGUGGUUAGUAGCAGUCUGUAACUUUGCAAAUCACCGUACCUGUAAUCUUUCUAUUUUCUUUUACAUAAAUUGUCAACAUCUUGAUAUAUAUAAAGAAACUGAAAGUCUAGAAUUGAAAUUGUAAAGAGAUAUAAUGAUGAUUUUUAUGAUUUGUAAACUGGAUUUACAAUAAGAGACAUUAUUUAGGUGUGGCGGUUUGAUUCUUUCAUGUAUUUUAAUUGAUGGAAAUAUGAACAUUUUGGUCCUUUAUUAUGGCAGUGGUGGUUAAUUUGGUUCUUUAUAUACUACCGCUUGCUAAUUUAUUCCUUAUCUCCUCUGCUCCUUUAUUUCUACAGUGGCAAUGUCGAUUAUCUUUGUAAUACCAACAUUGCAUGGAAGUUUAUGAAUUAAGGGUUGUAAUUAGAGAUUUGGGAAAAUUAGAAGAGGGGAAAUCGAUAGAUUACAAAUACUGCAUUGAUUUUAUUUUAUGGAAAUCAGGGAUUAAUUAGUAGACGGAAGUACGCAAUAAAUCUUCAUCACUGAAAUAAUGGUUAUGCAGCAUCUUAAUCACUGUUUGUGAAUUUUGUUUUGUCAAAAAAAUAAUAAUAAUAUAUGUCUCAUUCAGUUGUUGAGGGGUAAAAAAUAAUCACAAUUUGUUUAUAAAAAGUAUUCCAUUGAUGACUAAAAUGCUUUAUUCAGAAAAAAAAAUUUGAUAAUGCUGGUAGGUAGCCCGCCAGAACUAAACAUAUAAUUGGUUAACAGAAAAAAGCUUUUACAUAUAAUUGAAACCGAGGAGGCAAUAAUAAAGCCAAAUGCUGUUACAUGAAAAGUUGUAGCAGAGAAUAUCCGACUGUACGUAAUAUAUAUAUUUUUUAUUAUGUAGAUGCAUUUAUUUGGAAGUCGUACUGUCUUAGGGGCCAACGUACAACAUGAAACAUCGAAUGUUAUCCCUUCAAUAAAAUUCCAUGUGUAAUGAUCAAGACAGCUUAUCAGCCACUCCUUCAAAGAAAGGAAAAAAAAAAAAAAACAGACAGCUUGUCAGCCACAAAGUGUCCUAAGGAUUGAAUAUUUUGAUCAUUAUCUCUCUUAAAGUCUCCACAUGAUAGGCCUUUUCUUCUUAUUUUUUUUACCUUGGACUCAUUCUUAAUGGUUUUUCAACAUUUCUCUUCUUUUAAUCAUAUGGCUAUUGGCCACCCAAUGACUUAAAGUCUUGGUGGAGUGGGAGGUUAAAGGUUCAAAUCUUAUCCCCCAUCACUUUGCUACUAUAUGUGAUUUUCUCAAAUCCAUCUGAGUGCGUACGUUUGAUUCAAUGGUGAUUCAAUUCCCGUCGAUUUUUCAAUGGAUUCAGUUGAGCCUUCCCCUAAAAUAGAUUAGAGUAGAAAUAGUUUGAUUCGAUAGUGAUUCAAUCCCCGUUGGUUCCCCAAUAGAUUCAGUUGGGUCUCCCCCUAGAAUAGGUUAGAGUAUGAAUAGAGUAGAUCAUGACGAUUGAUACAAAAUAAAUUAUAUCAUCUCUCUCUCUCUCUCUCUCUCUCUCUCAUACAGAAAAAUAUAUCCUCUCUUGCUUUUCUUAAAGGGACAAUUUCAGAAACCUCUCCUCAGGUUUCUGAUAAUUUCAUUGAGCUCCUUCGAGGUUAUAAAAAUAACAUUUACCUCCUUUGCCCACAUAAAAUGAUAAUAUUGUUUUAACAUUUUAAUAAAACUCUCUUGUUAGAUAUACUUUUACAAAGAAUGGUAUUAAUAAUUAUUUUUCUUUUCUUUUUCUAUUCUUAUUCCCCCUUUUUAUAUUUUUGCCAAUAAAACCAUAAAAUAUAAACAUUGGCAGCAUAAAUGUUUUACUAGUGACAUUUUUUAUGACUUUGAAUGUGAUCUAAUUUUUACUUACUGAUUGUUUUUGGUACCAAAAGCAACAUUAACUCAAAAAAAAAGCCCAAAAUUGCUACCAAGCUAUGAUAGUUCCACCGAUCCAAAAUUCUGCAAACUUUAAAAGAAUUAUGACGGUAUUUUCUUUUUCAAAUUAAAAAAUACAUACCCUGGUAAAUCACCAUUAAAAGUAGUUUAUCAUAGUGAUAGAACUAUUGAGCAAUUGCCUUUUGGGUAAACCAGUGGAAUUACCUUAGAUUCUGGGUGUGUGUGUUUAUUAUUUACCGGUGAAAAGGAUAGUGAUAGAACUAUUGUCAUCUUUGCUUAUCAAAUAAUAAAUAUGGUGUUAAAAACUUCACACUCUUUUUGUAUAUUUGUGUUAAAUAUAUUAUGAUUGUUCUGGAAAGUAAUUCAAAUGUUUUAAGUUGAGGGUAUUUUAGGAUAUUCAUUAAAAAUUUUGACCAAGUCUAAGGUUUGGUUACCAAAAGUGUCAAAUUAGGGGAGGUAGGUGUAAUUUUUGAAACCUUAAGGAAGCCCAAUGAAAUUGUUAAAAAACUUAUGGAAGGUUUAUGAAAUUAUCCCUUUCUUAAAUCUUACCUUCUUAAUUGUCUUUAUGAGGAAAAUUAAUAAGCCAUGUCACCGUGAGAUGAUGAUAAAACAUCCAUCCUGGCAUGCAUAAAAAAUUAGUUAACAUCUAAAGCAUUGUGCAUUGUUAUUAUAUAUUGGAUAUUCUUUACUUUUUAUUUACAUUUUUUUUAACAUUGUAGAGAAACUCUAGACAAGUACUCAAGGGAAUUGAAAAUCCUUGCCAUCAAGGCCCUUGAGCAAAUGACAAAAGCAUUAGGAAUGGAGCUUGAAGAUAUGACAAUGCUUUUUCAAGAAGGGCUGCAAUCAAUGAGGAUGAACAAUUAUCCACCGUGUCCCCAACCUGAGCUAGUGAUGAGCUUUUGCCCCCACUCUGAUGCUGGUGGGCUUACCAUAGUGCUUCAGCUCAAUGAAGUGGAAGGCCUCCAAAUCAAAAAGGCUGGAGCUUGGGUUCCUGUUGUACCACUUCCUAAUGCAUUCAUAGUCAAUGUUGGAGACAUUUUAGAGGUAAUCAUGCUCAAAAUCCUUUCUCCCAAGAUGCAAUGUGAAUAUGAACAAUCUCUUCAAAUUGCUUUUCUGUUUAUAUAAUUACAACAUCUAUCUAGUUUUUGGCCUCCCUUAUGAGAUAUUUUCAAAUUAGUUUCUACAAUUAUGAACAUAUAUGGAAAUUAGAAUGUCCUUCCCAUAUUUUAAUAGGAUUCAAGAGAUAACCUUUCCGAUUAUGAUUAGUAUGCACUAGGUUGAUGUGUAAGACUAAUUAUCAACUUGCACCGCCCAGCAAAUGAGGCAAGGUCAAAGCGUAGCUUUCAUCCCAAAAUUUAACUUUUGCAAAUUUGUGGCUAAACUUCUAACUUUGGCUACUUUGUCAGAGUUAAACGAAUGUUGUUUAUUGGUAGAAUAUUGACUACUUUAAUAGAACGCGUAUCUUUAUAAAGUCAAAAAAAGCAUAAAAUAUAUGGAUGAAAAGGUCUUAUAUUGAAAAAACUUGGGCAUAAUAACUUCAAAAUUAGUAUUGUACAUGCCCUUAUACCCCACCCUCCAUAUUAUUGCUUACCUGUGAUGUACGAGUGGUAAAAUUCAAACUACUUUCCUUUCAUCGUUUUAAAAAAAGUACUUGCUCUUUUCCCCAACAAAUUUGUUUUGAUUUUCAGAAAGGAAUUUACUUUUUGUCUUGAUUUCAAUGCUAAUUACACGAGUUACUUACAAAUCAUGUCCUGGAUCUAUCAGGGUAUUGCUUCUGAAUUCUAUCUCCAAUGUUUUUGGGCCAUAACAGUAGUUAUAGGUGGACUCACAAGAUUACCCUGUUAACCAUAUCCUAUUGUUGAGCCUAAUUGAACUUUUAUGAGAAUGUAUGCUACAUAGUACACAGUUGGGAAAAAUGUGACGUUUUUUAACUGAGAUGCAGAUUGUGACAAAUGGGAUUUACAAGAGUGUUGAGCAUCGGGCAACUGUGAAUUUGCACAACGAAAGGCUUUCCAUUGCAACGUUCUUUUCCCCAAAACUGGAUGGUGACAUGGGUACAGCGCCAAGUCUUAUCACCCCUGAAAAUCCAGCAAUUUUCAGAAGAAUUAGUAUGAUUGAGUAUUUAAAAGCGUUUCUUCCCCGUGAACUAGAUGGGAAAUCAUUCAUUGACACAAUGAGGACCCAAAUCGAAGACUUUUAGGCUCUUAGUCCCUCUAUGAUUUUUCUCUUUGAAACUUAUGAACACUGUUGAUAUGGUGUCCCCUCUUCAUCGCCUCCCCCAACUUUCAUUCACCACAAUAUGUAUAAUUGUUUAAGAAUUAAUCCUGUAUACACUGUAUAUGCUAUUAGAUUCAAAUGCAUGACAACUAAUAUUAAUUCAAAUUUAAAAUUCAAAAUUUGAAACAAAUAGUAUGCAUUUAGAUUUAAUACUGUAUACAUUAUUAAUGUAUAGAAAAUUAAUCUAUUUUUAAAUAUGAAAGAGAAUGAUGAGUGAUUGUAUGUGCUAUCAACGACGUAUUAGAAGUCACUCUUUAUGCCAGAUCUUGAUAAGGGGAACCCAAAAAAAAACUCUUUGCUAUUUUACCUUUUCCUCUAGUACUUAUUUUAGGCACAAUUAUAAAUCUUUGAAUAUAUUGCUAUUCCAUAAGUACUCUUUCUAUUAAAUUCAAAUUUUGGGUUUUUCUAUUAUGUCCUUAAAAGUAUAGCACAGAAUAAGCAUAUAAAAUAGAAAGGAUGGACUCACUAUAAAUUUCAAUUAUUAUUAUUUAUUUUUUGAAUUAUAAAAUCGUCUUCAAAUAAGUGGAAAAUAGAUCCAUUUUCUAUCGUGCGUCCUGAAUAGAACAAUUCUUAAAGUUUUAAACCUUGUUACUUGAUUACAUCUCAACCAUCAAUGAUUUGCAAAGAUUUGCUGAUUAGACAAUUAUAUACCAACUAUUGUGAGGAGACCGUUCAGAAGCGAUCGGUCUGAUGACCGCUCUUGCCCCUACGCAUGAUCCAUCAUCGAGGUGAUUGAUAGAGGCACGACAAUUCAUCCUUGAGACUUCAUCUUCAUGGUUUCAUUAUUCAAAGCUAGAAAUGAAACCAUUCAAUGCUAUAGGUCACCUAACCAUAGGGCAGCAUAGAUGCCAACUUUAUUCACUUUCAUUCUAAAUUGGCCCUUCUAAUGGCACGGGAAUUAAGAGAUGGAGAGGGGUCACAAUCGGUAAGUAUGCCCGCCCCGUAGGCAUAGAAAUGGGGCGGGGAGAAAUGCGGAGUGGGAGUAGCGGUUGCGGGAAUUUGUCUCAGUACUAUCCCCACCUAUAAAUUAAAUAAAUUAAUUAAUACGUAACUAUAUUUGUCAAUAUCUAUGUACAUAUUAUAUAUAGUAAGGGUGGUGGGGAUUUGUAUCGGUACUAUCCCCACCUCUAUAUAUAUAUAGACACACACACAUACACAUACAGACAUAUACAUUAUAAUUUGAAAACUCAUGAUAUCAUUAUUUGUGUGGUAAAAUGAUGAUUUUGUUAUUUUUAGUUUACUGAAAUUUUUUUUUUUUGGUGUAUUGCAUGUUUGCAAUAAGAUAAUAAUAGUAGCAGAUAUUACUUUAGUUAUGCUAAUAAAUACGGAGAAAUAUUUUUAAAAAAUUAAAGUAUAUUUUAAACUUAAUUUCAUGUUGAAUUUUAGUUAAAAGUUCAAAAGAUUGAUUUAUACAAUUAUUUGUUGAUAUUAUAUAUGAAAAAUAGAAGUUUAUUUUGAACCACCCAUUAGGGCACCCAUAUUGGGUAGUGGGGUGGGGGCAGGGGGGAUAGCUUAGGGCAAGAGGAAGUUUUUAAAGCGCGGGAGGGGAGACGGGAGAGGGUUCUCUAAUUCCAAAUCCAUGUCGUUGUCAUUCCUAGUCACCAACUGUUUAAAAUCUAGAAAUUUUAGUUUUCCCUCACAUAAGGUUUGAAGUAAAUGUUAACUUCUACCUCCAAAAAAAAUUCUAUAAAAUAUUAUUAUAAAAUUAAAUGUUAUUUGUAUAAACUGUUUUUCGAUCAAAGUAAUUGUUAUGCUUCCUUCUACAUAGGUAACAUAGCAAGACCAGUAUAAUUUCAAUAAAACAUUUAAGGAUAAUCUAAAAUUUGGAUAAACAUCAUGAAGUGAAGGUGAUGAACCAUUUUCAAGGACAAUAGCUAAUAGACUAUUAAAAGUCAAUUUUGAAGUUUGGAACGACAAAAAUUGCUUUCUUCAUGUGCCCAAGAUAAGUUUUUUUAGAUUUUGAUUAUCAGAUUUGGAAUUUUUUGGAUAUAUUCGAUAGAGAUCACCAUAUUAUCCUGUUUUUUGAUAUCUGUGUAUGUUUAAUGAUGUAAUUUCUAUCAUUAAUGUAAAUUUUAAUAAAACUAUGAUAUUUUAUAUAUAAAAAAUGGAGGUAAUUAUCCAGGGGUUUACCAAGUCAACAUAAUUUGUGGGCCCAAGGGAAUUGACAAGGUUUAAUUUAUAUUGUAUAGUAUAGGUAUUUUAUAGGUAUUUUAAUGGAUAGGGUUUGAUUUAGAUCUCUUUGAUCUACAUUCAUACUUAUUAAAUUUAGUUAGACGCAAAACCAUAUCCAACCCUUUAUGGGUUUGAAAAAGUAAACUCAAAUUCGAACCCUCAUAGGUUUAGGUAUUCAACGGGUAUUCGUGAAUACUUUUUUGAACAUACAAUGAAGAACCAAGGUAAAUAUAUUUUGAAAAUAUAUAGAGUUAAAAAAUAACAUAAAUAUCAUCCAAUUUUUAUUUUCAAAUAAUAAAAUCAACAUUCAUGAUGUUGAAUACAAUAUUAUGAACUCAAAGAAAGAAUUAUUAUCAACUAAAACUAUUUGUUUUCAAAGUUUCAUCUGUGUCUAUAUUCAAUCUUUUAUUUAUUUGCUUUCAUUUUUCUUUUUUCUUGAAAAUGUUUGUACUAAUUAUAAUGACAUAGAAUAUUAGGUUAUUUUCCGAAUUUACUGAUACAUACACACACAUAGAAUAUUACAUGGGUAUUGGUAGGGUCUAAUUUGGAUUUGAAUUUGGAUCUAAAUCAUAGAAAACCAUACUCCACCCAAAUUCAUGAUUCUCUUACGGGAUCUAGAUUUGGUCAGGGUCUGGGUUAAUAAAUUAAACCUAAACCCUACUCAUAUAUACUAGGUGUGAGGACCCGAAAAUUUUCUUAUUUUUAUAGAAUAUUACUGGAAUAUUUAAAAGAUUAUUCACUCAUUUUCUUCGAAUUAUUUAUUUCGACCAUUUUAAAUUUAUUUAUAUGGAAUGACGCCUCUUUAUAAUUUUAAAACAUUUUGUUGGAAAAUUCACUUUUCAGAAAUUCGUUUAGUUCGAAAUAACAAGUACACGUUUUCGAGGCUAUACUUGAAUCAGGAGUGUAUUAAUAUUGGAGAAUUAAAAAUGAUCAAUAAUAGAUUAAGAAAGGUUAAUUGAGGAAUUAAUACUAGACUCCUGUGAGAACUCGCGAAAUUCAUUAUUUUAAAUUCCUAUUUUCGAGCUCAUUUGUAUAUUUAAUUGCCCAUUUAUUCCGAAUAAUAUUUUCUAGCCUUAUUAGACCUAAGUACAUGGUUUUAUAGUUUCGUUAUAUUUUUAAAGCGCCUCAUUUCAAAAAUUAUUUUCUUAAAAGCUUGAUUAGCGAAAAAAUGAAAACGUGUCUAAACACUUUAGCCAAUUGGGAGUACAAUAAGCUCAAAAAUUUGAGACAUAUACAAUGGUCCUAAAAUAGGCAAUUUUAGGUUUAAGUACUCAAGUGAUAGUUAGUGGUACGAUCGUUACAAAAAUUUCUCAAAGGUUUCAUUUUAUUGCGCCUAAAUUAGAAAUACGUGUUUUCACGUGCGCGCUUAAUUGAGGGACUUUGGACCAUUAUUUUGGGACAAUUAAGAAUGAAUAAUAUUUAUAUGAAUGUAAGUGCCCUAGAGGUUUAGUGCACUAGUGCAACAAAUUUAAGAGAAAUCGAACACAAAACACGCGCGUAGGGCACUAGUUGCAAUUAAAUUUUACGUACUUAAAAUAUUAGACGGUCAGCGUUCUUUGUACGCAAAAGGAGUCAGACUAACAUUUCACUUUUGCAAGCUUCAUGGACGGCUAGCCACUACAAAAACAACCGAAAACUUCUCAAACAUUUCCUCUACAAACUUCACCUCAAAAAUCUUGCCAAACCUUCAUAGAUUCACCACACAAGCUCAAGACAACUUGGACAAUCACUUGGACAAAGAAAGAGCUGCACAUUCACGGAUCUUCUUGGAGUUUUAGGGGCACCAAAAUCUGACUUUUUAGCACACAAGUAAGGUAACCAUGAUCCACUCUUCAGAUCUUGUUCAAUAAAGGCCAACUUACACUUAAGAGCUUGAUUAUGCUUAUGGGUAACUUAUUAUCGUUGGAAAUUGUUAAAUGUGGGCUCUAUGAACUCCCACUUUGGGUUGAUGGCUGUGAUGAUGUUUGAUGAUGGUUUUAUUGCUGAAAUACUGCUUAAGGAAGUAGAUUAAAGGUGCAUUAUUUCCAGAAACGUUAUUGAGUUCUUGAAGCAAAAAGUUCCGAUUUUACCCCUGCUCUGUUCGGUCACUUUACUGCAGAUAAUUGAGGAUUUAAAGGCUUGAUUAUGUUGUUUACAUGUUUUAGAAGUUGUGUACAAAAUUUCGUUGAAAAAUAUUGAGUUUUGGUUGCUCAAACGAAAUUAUUUCGAAAACUGGUAAUCUGGAAAACGGUUUCGCCGUAAUCCAGACCAGUGGUUGUAUUUUGUCCAUAACUCCGUGCUCCGACGUCAAAAUCAAGUACCGUCAGCGGCAUUUGAAACUAGACGUUCCCAUGUUUCCAACGGUGUAUAAUGAACAUUCUGGUUCUAUGUGUGUGAGCCACACCAUUCAUCUGAAGUCGGCUGUCCUGUUUCUCCGUUCUGCCGAAAUGAUUUGAUGAUGCUGCAACUUGAGGCUUGAUUUUGAACCAGUUGCAUGCUGAAACCUGGAACGAUUUCUUCUGUGAAGUUGUAGCCCUGUGAAUUUAUUUUCUAACACUCUCAACCAUUUCCAAUUCCGAGUUAAAUUGAGGGAGUUAUGAUCAAUACACGGCAACUGCCUCGUUUUUGAAAACCUUAGCUUUGGACAGAUUGCUUUAAGGAUUUUUCCAAACUUUGGUUGAUUGAAUGAUCACCCUUCCGAGGGUAUUUUUCCAUGAAAUUUGAUAGAGAGAUAACCUUCAUAUGGAAGUAUUAUACUGCAAAAUUUGGUGUCAAUCCAAGUCCGUUUCGGCACUUAACUAAAGGUCCAAAGUUGGAACCAAAUCUGGAAAUUUUGUAACAAUCCUGAAUUUUCUCCAACUUCGAGCUGCCGUAUCUCGGUACUCGAAACUCCGAUUCUUGAGCCGCUUGUUCCAUCCAAAACUUUACUUGCAGAUCUAAUUGAGCUAUAAGUUUCAAGGGCCGGUUUCCAACGAGUGAUUUUUGCCGAAUUUCCAAAGUUAGCGAAAAACCAACCCGGCUCAAUCCUAGCAAUCUAGAACAGCAGCUUUAGACUCAUUUUUGAAUGCCUUCCACUUAGAUUCAUGGAACAGUGUCUUCUAAGAACUUUUAGUACUUUCAAAGACGAUUCCAACGGUACCAAAUUCAUCAAGUUUCGAUUAGUAGAAAAGAAGUUAUGAUUUUUCAAAGAUUUGACCAAAAAUCGAAAAUUCUGAAAUUUCAAAGGAAAUCCGCAAAGGAACAAUUUUCUAGAAUCCGGCCUUGAAUCCGGCUAGAAACUGGCCAGAUUGUCGGCCGGAUUGGUGGCAAAAAUUGAAAAAAAGGAGGUUAGCCACUGCCUCCAAUCCGGCCAGAAAUCCGGCCGGAUUGUGACGUGGCCAACCUUCCUUCGAUUUCGAUCGUUCGUUUUGUAAUCUUUUCGCUCGUACUUGUUUCCAACCAAUGAUUUUAAGGAUAAUAAUCCAAUUUUUGUACUUAAGUUUUACACCCUUUUGAGAAUUCAACUUCAAAGGCACGUCAAACGAAGUUUUCAAUUAUUUUCGAACCUUACUCGUGUUCAAUCUUUCUCACCACUUGGGGACCUACAGUAAUUAUCUAAAAUACGAUGUUCAGGCACGCACGAGGACCUCCAAGAGGACCCUACUGUAGAAGUUUGAACUCUCCCUCCAACUUACUUGCUCGCAUAACUAGUGAGUGUCAAGUGUAUGCCUACUUGAACUCUAAAGUCUUGAUUCAUGCUUGAUUCACCUGAUUUCAUGCUUAGCUUAACUGAUUUUGACAAAAUGGAGUCGAGUGUGUACUUGAUCGCACUCGUUCUCAUUUGAAACGAAUGACUCAUGCUUAACAUGAUUUGCUUGGUUUACAUGACUUGAAAUGUCUGCUUAAACCUAUCAAAUGCUUGAAUACAUGAAAUGGUAUGCUAUGAUUGCAUACGUCGAUGGAGUGAAUCUCCUCGACAUUUACAUGACAAAUGGGGGACGCCCAAACUCAUAGGCCGACCUUGGAACUCGAGCCGGCAUGGGCUUGGUCGGGAACCUCGGUGAGCCAUGAGAUUCAAAUGAUAAGCUUGAUCUAUUGAGAGAUCUCGCUUGGCAUACUCGUAUAGUAUCGCCUUAUAAAUGUAGUGCGGGCCCGAAGUGGUGUAUGGUGGACGGAUGGGAAGUAAGUGGUGAACUACGGAUAUGAAAAUAUCAAUCCGGUUGACGGAGAGUCAUCACGGAAAGAUAUAUAAAUGGUAUCGGCAAAUGUGGAACUUAGCUCCUGAGAGCUUCUAUAUCCUUGAAUUGUUUCUGGUUACAGUUUAUUGGUGUUAUUAAUUACUUGCAAGCUAAUACCUGAAUUGUUAUUUGGGCUUGUUAUCUGAACUAUGUGUUUGCAUGUGUGUUCUUGGCCUCACGAGCGUUUUGCUCACCCUGUAGAUUUGUUUUCCUUAACAGGUUUGAACUCGGAAGUAAAAUAGAGAAGCCCUCCUGAUGUAUUUUUGUUUUAGGGUUUGCUAUUACUUUUGGUUAUGCCUUUGAUUUUGGGAUUGUACUUUUGGUAUGGAAAUGUAACCUUUGGACGAAAUGUAUUUUGUAUACCGACGUGUGGUUUGGAGAAUGGAUGACUAUUAUUAAGUUUGAACGUUUCCGCAUUUUAUUGUAUCUAAGUUAUUGGCUUGUAUUGUGUGAUCCGGCUAUAAGUUGAAUGGAAUUGCUUGAGUCCUGGCGAGAGUUAGGCAGGCGUCCCGCGGAUACCCUUUGGUUCGCCUUAGGGAGAAGUGGGGGCGUUACACUAGGUUUGGAUUUGAUUUGGAUAAAAUCCGACCCAUUGACAUACCUAGUUCGGUACCAUUGGCUACCCUUAAAAUAGUGCGUUUAGGUGAAAUAUGGAUGAAAUUAAUUGGAAUAGCACCUUUUUAAUUAGAUAAGACAUCAUUGUCAGCCUAUAAUCUAGUUCCGUAUACAACUUCUUUUCUAAUCCAAAUUUAGAACGUUGCAUUCGAUUAAUAAUAAACAAUAAUGUUGAUUAAUGAAACAUACGGUGGCAUAAAUAAUUGAAGAGUGCACCUAUCUUUUAUUAUGUUCUGUGAAUAGAAGAAUCCGAAAAGUUUUAAACCUCUUGUUACUUGACUUUCAUCUCAACCAUCAAUGAUGUUUUCAAAAUUUGCUAAUUGGACAAUGACAUACCAAGAAUCACGCCGUUGCAUGAUCCAUCUUCGAGUUCAUUGAUUGAGACACGACAAUUUGUCUAGAAUUUUCAUCUUCCUGGUUUCAUCACUCAAAGCUGGAAAUGGCAUGAGAAUUAAGAGGUCACCUCCUUUCCAUAACGACUUAAACCAUAGGGCAGAUAGAUGCCAACUUUAUUCACUUUCCCUCUAAAUUGGCCCAUCCAAUGGCAUGAGAAUUAAGAGGUGGGAAGGGUAGGAAUGGAUGCCCGUCCUUUGGGGAGAGAAAUGGAGUGAAGAGAGCUGUGGGGGCAGGAGUGGGGUGGUGGGGAUUUUUCUCCCCCCACCGUGUGGCUACCAUCCCCGCGCCAUCCUUGCCUAUAAAUUAAAUAAAUUAAUUAAUAUGCAGCUAUAUUUGCCAAUAUCUAUGUACAUAUUAUAUUAUUUAUAAUUUUGUAACAACAAUAGUAACAGUUGUUAGUUUAGAUUUGCUAACAAAUACAGAGAAAUGUUUUUAAAAUAUUAAAGUAGAUUUUAAACAUAAUGUAAUGUUGAAUAUUAGUUAAAAGUCCAAAAGAUUGAUUUAUAAAGUUAAUUGUUAAUAUUAUAUGUGAAAACAUAAGAUCAAAAUAAAAAAUAAAAUUUUAUUUUGAACCACCCAUCAGGGCACCCUCGUUGGAUAGACGGAUGGGGGUGGGGGUAAGAGAAGUGGGGGGAUAGCACUAAAGCCAGGAGAAGUUUUUAAAGCACAAGGAGGGAGACGGGGGAGGGCUUCCUAGCCUCAUAUCCUCCUCAUUGCCAUUCCUCUAGUUACCGACUCUCUAAAGCUUAGAAAUUUUAGUUUUUCCUCAUUAAAGUUUUGAAAGCAUAAAUGUUAACUUUUGCCUUCAAAAAAAUUUAUAAAAUUUAAUGAUAAAAAGUUGUAUAUAUAUACAGUUUUUUUUUUAAUCAAAGUAAUUGUUAUGCUUCCGUCUACGUAGCAAGGCCAGUAUAAUUUCAAUAAAUAUUUAAGGAUAAUCUAAAAUUUGGAUAACAUCAUGAAGUGCAAGUGAUGAACCAUUUUCGAAGACAGUAGCUGAUAGACCCUUAAUCAUAAGUCAAUUUUAAAAUUUCGAAGCGAUAAAACUUGCUUUUUUUUUUUUAAUGUGACUAAGGAGGAGGUAAUUAUCAAUGGGUCUACCAAAUCAACGUAAUUUGUAGGCCUAAGAGAUAUGACAAGGUUUAAUUUGUACUAUAUGGUUCCAUGGGUUACCUUUGAGACACUGCAUUUAGGUGGAAUAUGGAUGAGAUUAAUUAUAAUAGCAGCUCUUUAGGUGAGACAUCAUUGUCAAGCCUAGAACUAGUUCCGUAUAGAACUUCUUAUAUUAUCCAAGCCUAGCACCUUGCAUUUCAACUAAUAAUAAACAAUGUUGGAUUAAUGAAACAUCUGGUGCAAAAAAAAAUAUAUAUAUAUAUAUAUUCUGAACCAGGGAUUCAGUGGAAUUAGAACUUUGAAGUUGAAAAUAACCACAAUCAUGGAUCCCAAGACAAGAAAGCUUGGGGGAUCUCUGAAAGUUCCUUUUGUCCAAGAGUUGGCUAAGGAAAAUCCCUCUUCUGUUCCAACUCGUUACAUACGCCCCGACAAAGACCAAUAUCCAACCAUCUCUAACGGUGGUUCUUUCCACCAAAUACCAGUUGUGGAUAUGCAAAGCUUGUUUAGUUCUGCUGAGGAGGCAAGUGAUUUGGAGCUUCAGAAGCUGCAUUCUGCAUUCUGCAUUCAGAAGCUGCAUUCCACCAAAUACAACUUUUUUUUUUUUUGUUCCGAAAAAAAAAAGAAACCAUCUUCAAAUGAAAUCAAAGUCCUAUGAAAAUUGAAUCCGUUGAUGACUUAAUCAUCUUUUACCUGAAUUUUACGAGUGCAAAUCGGUUGAAAGUAUACGUAUGCUUAUGUGCUGUUCCAUCCAGACGCUAUUACUUAUGAGAAAAACUGUCAGUAGCUGAUUAAUCAUGAAGUUAGCUCUUCAUUGGUGGAGAAAUUGAAAUCAGAAGUUCAAGAUUUUUUCAAUCUGCCGAUGGCUGAAAAGAACAAAUAUGGUCAAGAACCAGGAGAUGUAGAAGGAUAUGGGCAGGCCUUUGUCAAAUCAGAGGAGCAAAAGCUUGACUGGGCUGACAUGUUAUACAUGAUCACUCAACCAGAAGAUUUAAGAAAACCUCAUUUAUUCCCUAAGCUGCCUCUUCCUCUAAGGUAUAUUUGACCAACCAUGCACAACACACACAAAACGGGGAAUUUAAAUCAAGUGUUCUAUCUUUAGUCUUGUAAUUCUUUAACUAUGCAAUUUUAGGAUAAAAACUGUUUUUGACAUGAACUAACAUACGUAGUAUGCUAAAAUUUUAGGCAAACUGUACUACUAGUUACUGAACUUUCUUGAAUGGGAAAAAAAAAAAUUGGAUGGCCGAAAAGAGACAUUCAUGAAAAUUUAAUGGCCACUGAUGCACUUUGCCAGAUGGUUUUGAUUAAAGCAAUUCAAUGAUACCAUUUAAUUUGACGUUUUCACGUCUAUCUAAAUUUGAACGCUAAUGCAUCAGAUAGGUGAGAUUUUUUAGUAGGUAAAGUUGAUUUUCUGUAAAAUUAUCUACUGAGAAAGAUAGAAUAAAAGAAUAUGUUGAUGUGAUAAUUUUUAAAGCUAACAUUUCAGAUUUAUGUUUAGGGAAGUAUAAAGAUCCAGAAAUGGCUGAAUACAUGAUGACGAAAGGUCAAGCAAAAAAAUAAGCUGAAAUGCCAAUGAGGAAUUAAUUGCCCUGCCACCCUCCAUCCACUAUCUUCCAAACCAAAUAAAAAGAGAAAAAUAUAUUUAGAACAACAAUAUGAAUAAUUCAAAACAUUAACCUAUUGUGCAUAUGCUAGUAAGUCCACUAAGGCUUAAGAAGCUUUCUUUUUCACUUUUUGUGAUAUUGAGAAAAAUAAUGACCUGCCAAGAAUUUCCGUUUGUGUUUUGAUCAAAGAUGAUUUUUUUUAAUAAAAUAUCAUGUUUUCAUUAAAAUUUACACUAAUGGCAGAAAUUAUAUCAUCAAAUAUAUAUAGAUAUCAAAUAAUAGAUCUGAAGAAAGGAUACUACACAUAUGAAGAACAAUAAAAAUUACAUUAUAAAGCUCCAAAUUUAAAAAAUAAGAUAAAAUAAUUGUAGCUCCACGGAUAUUUAUGCAUGCUUGUAAUCGUCAAAUCUACUAAUUAACGACUUCAAGUCCAUCUAUUAUAGUGAGAUCUACUGAAUAGAUCUAAGAAAUUCCAGAUCAAAUAACCAGAACCUGAAAAACUCAAAUGUAAUAAAAGAAAAUUGAAAAAAUUAUCAAAAACUCUCACUAGGAAUCCUUAGGAGAGAAUAAAACUCCACUAAAAAAUUUAGGAGAGAAGAAAACUCUCACUAGACAACUCUAAGAGAGAAGAAACUUUCAUUAGAAAAUCUUAAGAAAUAUUUUAUUCACAUAAAUGAAAAGAAACUAUAGAGAGAGCUCCUCGCAUGGAGAAAGAUUAGAAAAAUCUGAUCUCUCUCUCAUGAAAGAGUUGAAGGAGAGUUUUAGUUAGAGAGUUUUUUCUAAAGAGAAGAAAGAUAGAACGAGGAUGGCCUAAGAUAUUUUAGGUCAAAAUGUUACUAAUAUUAUAAAAGAUGAAGUUGAACAAUAAAAAAUCACCAAUUCACUGUGACAAAUGGUUACAAUGAGCUCAAAUUUAUUGAAAUAUCUUGAUUCACUAUGCAAUUUGAAAAUAAACAAAUCAGUUAUGAUUUUAAGUUCAUUAUAAUAUACAUCUAAAUUUAUACUUAGACUUAGGUAUGCUAAGUUCUCCUAAUAGUUUAUUUGCAUGUUAAUCAAUCCAAUAACACUGCAAAACAUGAAACUAACAGUGAAGUUUGUGCGCAAAAUUUACUUUUCUUUUCUUUUGUUAUGAUACUAAACCGAUAUUUAUGCUAGUUACCUUUGUAUUCCUUCAAAUGUUCUUGGUUCUGCUACAUAGGGAAAGUCUUCAAGAGUACUCUAUAGAGCUCAAAAGUCUUGCCUUGAAGAUUCUCAACCUAAUAGCAAAAGCAUUAGGAAUGAAGCAUGAAGAAAUUGAAGUGCUUUUAGAAGAAGGGUUGCAAUCCAUGAGGCUCACUUACCAUCCUCCAUGUCCUCAACCUGAGCUGGUCACAGGCCUCUGCCAUCACUCUGAUCCUGUUAGCCUCACCAUUUUACUUCAAAUCAACGAUGUACAAUGUCUCCAAAUCAAGGAAAAUGAAGCUUGGGUUCCUGUUCUUCCACUUCCUAAUGCUUUUAUAGUCAACGUUGGUGAUAUCCUAGAGGUAAGGAUUCGCAUAAAUAUAAGGCUUUAUUGUGAAUUGCCCCAUUAACAAGUACAUGCUUUUCAAUUUGCUCCAUCGUUGUUUGUUCUAAGGGUCAGUCACACUCUGCUCUGCUAAGCUUUCGGGGUAGGCACACUUUUGACUUUACUAUUACGAGCCUUAAAAUUGUAUACUUGGCCCCUUGAAAACUAGUCAAAGAUAUAAAUAUUAACGUCAUAAGAAAAAAAGUGAGUGUAAGGAUGUUAAUGCCCUUUCAUUUCUGAAAUGAUUAAUAAUUUAUCAUUAUUGCCAUUUUGUUGCUAAAAAAUUUAUAUCUUCUCUAUAGUAUCUAAUAUACAAAAAAUCAAAUUAAUAAAACCAAAAAAAAAGCUUUUUCAAUUUAAUAUCCUUAAAGUCUUUUCAAAUUCAUGUUGAAUUAAUGUUCUUUUAUCUUAUCCAUUGUUUUCAAUUUAUUGAACUUUAAAUCUAAUAGUAAUAAUAAAUAAUGUAGUAAUAAAAAAAUAAUAUGGUAAUAACAAUAAAUACAGUUGGCAAAAUUUUGAAAUCAUGCUAUAAUAUUAAGCUUGUUACUACUUAACAGCGUAAUAUUUUAUUCUUUUAGUUUAUGUAAAUUGUUAGAAGAAUAUUUUUGUUAUAUUUUGUUUGUCAGAUUAGUCAACUAUGAAUUACUUAACUAAAUUUUUAAUAAGGACUAAUAUAUAUUACAUCUAGACUUAGAGGAGAAUAAAUAGAGAUUAAAUAAAAAAAAUCACUUUCUUCACCAGUAAAAGGGCAUUAAUAGUAAACUAUAUAUAAUGUCAUCAAAAUGGUGAAUAAACGUUGUUUUGAUUGGAUCUGUCCUCUCCCUAGACUUCCAAUAUUUACAUUUUUUUUCCAACAUUAAUGUGCCACAACACUCCUAUAAAAGCCCAAAUUGUCAUGUGGAAUGCACUUACUCUCCGACUACAAUUAGCUUACAUACCAAAUUUUUAGUAACUUAGUCAUGAGAACCUUUUGCUAAGCUGUGACUGAUAAAGCUAUCAGAACUUCCAGUGUCCACCAAUACGUUCACUACUACACUUCUCAUAACUUGUUGUAGAGUAAUGGUCUUUCUUUUGAGCCCAGAAGACAAAGUAUGAAAUGACAUGUCUACCACAACCCCAAGAUUACUAGUAACCUCUUCUUGCUUCCCUUGGACAUCUGCAAAUUCAAUUUCCUCGUCUUCGUCUUCUGCCAUCAGAUGCAGCUGCUUCAUUUUACUUUGAUGUCCUGCUCCAAAUUUGUUGGCACACGUGAAACAAAGACUGGCAUUGGAUGGUGAAAUUUUCUAUAUGAUGUUAGGACUAGAAUCCUGAUUAGCAGAAGCUCCUUUUUCAACUCGAUAACGAGGGAGCCUAUAGCUAUUAGUUCCAAUACCAUGGCCAAUUUUGAUUUUAUAUAAUUCAAAUCUGGAGUCCACAUUCUGCCUACCCCCUUGUCUAAUCUGUCUACGUCAAAUGCUACUAUUAAAAUCUCAGGUUUGAACAUCUUGACUGUGCCUAAUUUCUUCUCUAAGCCCGCUAAUGAAACUGGAGACAAAAUAUCGUUCACUAAGUCUUAUUACUCCCGAGGAGCAUCAAAGUUUUCAACUGUUCAAACUUCUCUUGGUAUUCUUCUAAAUUACCAAUCUAUUGCGACUUAUUGAAUUUUUCCAAAUUUCCUCUGUCAACAAAUGUGUGCACGAUAGUUCUUUAAUUCCUUCCAAGACAAACUAGCUAGGUUUUUCAAUCUUGACCCCCAGAAACUAGUUAUCUGUUAUUCCCUCAUAAUACAUUCCAAUCACAUUCAUUCUAUUUUCAUCAAAAAAAUUUGUAAAACAAGAAUAAUUUAUGGCAUUUUCUGACUCAUUCCCUAAGAUUAUCCCCAAAGAACAUAGGUAAUUCAACCUUAAGAGUAACUGGGAAAAGGAAUCCUACUCCAGUUCUCCUUAGUAGUCGCUCCAGGCUCAUUGGUGGACAGCAACUUCUGUUGCUUCUAGGAGGUGGGAAUCCCACAAUUUUCUUCUUCGCAGAUCACUUUCUGAUUGUCUUUACAAGACAUCACCAUCAUAGAGGAGCUGAAUUUCUGAUGCACAUUAUGAAUCAUGGACUCCAUCUUCUUGCCAUUACUUUCCCACUCAUCUUUAAAAUGUUGCUGGAAAUUAUUCAUGGAGUCUAACUGCUACUAAAAAUUUCCUAUGGAAGCCAGAGCCUUGUUCAACCUUGCUUCUGUUUCUUGACCUGCUCCUUCAAAGACUUAAAACAAGUAGUUUCAGCCAUGAUCAGGGGGUAUUCAAGCAGCCAGAGUCAACCGCUUCAUACCAACAACUAUCAGGGACUCAAACAUUGGAGUCCAAAUGAAGUAUUGAUUUGGGAGAAAAAUGAACUAGAGAAGGAAAGAAUUAGUUCAAGAAUGAGGAAUGAUCAGAACGAGAGAAGAAGAAAGAAAUGCAGAGGGAAAGAUUGACUAUAAGAAAGGAAUGACUACCAAACUCCUUUCCUAACUAGUUUCACUAACCGAAGGAAAUUAAACCAAGCUAUCUUAGUAUUUAGUUUCCUAAUUCUUCUGAUUUCUAGUUUUGGUGUCUUGUUUAUUUAGUUUUCAUAUUAGUUUAGGAAUUAGUUUCCUUCAUUUCUUUCUUGAGCCCAUUCCGUUUGUUUGUUUAUUAAUAUUUCGCUGCCAUGCUAUUUCUUCGAGUGUGUGAUUUGUUUUGAUUAUUUAUCCUAUGGGCUAUUUUCCUACAAAGUAUUAGAGGUCUAGACUUUGAUUCUAGGGCUUGUUCAUGAAAUUGAAGCAUGGAUCAAUGUUAUUGAUCACGUUGUGAUGUUUUUUUUUUGAUGGUAAAAAUGAUUUUGAGAUUUGGAGUUGGAUGAUGAAAAAAAAAUUCAAGCUAUUGGAAUUUGGGAUUUUUUCUAAAAGGGGUUCACAAAACCUAUAGAAGGUACGAAUUAUUAAGCAGUUUAAGAGUUAGAGAAGAAUAAAUAGUUAGAUUGCAAGGCAUUCCAAUAUCUCAAUACCCAAGUCCAAUUGCAUGUAGCCAAAAAAUUUAUAGAUGUAAAUACAGCAACGGAGGUUUGGAAAAUUUUGAUGAAUUUCUAUGGUCAUGGUGGAGAAGAAUUUUGUGAUGAGGUAGGAGAAAUUUUUUUUUUUUUGAUGAGCCAAAGAAAGAAGAAAUUGCAGAAAUUAUGGGCACACGUGAAGAUGAAAAAUUUGUGGCCGAAAAAGAAAUUUCACAUGUGGUUGAGAAAGAAAGUGAAGUCAUUGGUGAUAUGGAAAAUGUAACUAAAGAUUGUGAUAAGAGAGAAAUUUUUUGAUUUCAUUGUGGUUGAUGAAUUUUUUGAAGCGAAGGAUGCGAUUGUUAAAAUUGAUGCAAUUUUUAGUGUGAAAAAAUUAAAGGAAAAAUAUGGUGAUGUUAAAAACAUUGGAGGUGGCAAUUAACUAUGAUUUUCUAGUGUUGGGAAAUUUUCUUGGUGACGUGGAGUAAUGAAUGGAGUUUGGAUGAACAUGUUUAACUUUUUUGACAUAAGUGAUCAAGGUAAGAAAUUGUUCAAAAAGUAUAAGUUUCGACCACUGUUACGUGUAAAGAUGAAACUAAAAAUCAAUCAUGAGUUGGAGUUAAAUGUUGUGUCUACUGCAACUGAGUUUUUCAUAGAGAUUCAAGUUCGAAAUGACAUUGGCGGUGAGCACAAUAACGAGCAUGGUUUAAGGAAGGCAAUAAAGGAAAUUAAACCCAACUAUCUUAGUAUUUAGUUUUCUAAUUCUUCUAGUUUCUUGUUUCGGUGUCUUGUUCGUUUAGUUCCCUUAUUGGUUUAGGAGAUUUCAAAUCAGUUCCAAAUAAGUUUCGGU
RNAcentral lists this long non-coding RNA (84649 nucleotides) under Coffea arabica (coffee). RNAcentral describes it as "long non-coding RNA (CARA_LNC006404)". Lineage: Eukaryota; Viridiplantae; Streptophyta; Magnoliopsida; Gentianales; Rubiaceae. The record is from RNAcentral.